Molecule: long non-coding RNA, 84258 nt
Filed under: Coffea arabica (coffee)
Lineage: Eukaryota; Viridiplantae; Streptophyta; Magnoliopsida; Gentianales; Rubiaceae
Description: long non-coding RNA (CARA_LNC000290)
Source: RNAcentral
UUUAUGUAAUUUUUCCCGUUUAAGUGUACUAUUUUAAUAAUAAAAAAAAAAGAAAGUAUCGAGGAUGCUUUGCUGGAUUCUUAGCCGACUUUCUCACCUCGUCCCACUACUUCCACUAACUUCAUAACCACCGCCCUGCCACCCCUGCACCUCCUCAUGCUCCUCCGCUUCUUCCAUGGCUGACCCGAAUAACCGACCCGUCACCGGCUACCCAGCUCCGGCCACCAAUGGUCACCCACCGCCGCCGUCCAACACCUCCUACCCCUACGCUGCACCACCACCUGCUGCUUACUACAACCAACAAUACUACACUGGACCAGCUUACCAUCAGCCUGAUCCCGACGCCAUCCGCCGCGCCACCUUCCUUCGCCGCCUCUUCGCUUUCAUAAUUGCCGGCGUCAUCAUCCUCGGCACCAUCCUCUUCAUCAUCUGGCUGGUUCUCCGCCCCCGUCUUCCCGAGUUCCGAGUCGACUCGCUCUCGGUUUCCAACUUCAAUCUCUCCUCGAGUACCCUUGUCUCGGCGGAUUUCGACGUGAAAAUUACUGCUCGGAACCCUAAUGGAAAAAUCACUCUGUUUUACGACAACGUUGAGGCGGCCGUUUAUUUUAAGAAUUUUCAGCUUUCCCAAACUACUCUUCCGCCGUUUUCUCAGGGGAAGAAGAAUGAAACCUCGUUCACGGCGGAAUUGGCUGCGGUAAAGGCUUAUUUGGAUGGAGAUAUUGCGAAUGGGAUUAAUGGGGAAAGAGGGAAAAAUGGAAAUGUGGUGCUUAAUGUCAGGAUGCUUAUGGAGGUGAGGUUUAAGGCGGGUGCUUGGAAGGCUAGGAGGAGGUAUUUGAAGGCGUUUUGCGGGGAUUUAUCGGUAGGGAUUUCGGCUAAUGCGAGUAAUGGGACUUUAACCGGUGGACCUCGACAGUGCCGUGUUGGCCUUUGAGGGAUUUGAGGUGAAAUGGGAUUUUUAUCAAAUCAAUGAAAAUUUUAAAGUUCUUAGUAGUUUUAUACUUAGAAUGCAAUUUUAUUGUGCCUUGAUUAGUGAGUAUAAGCAAUGUAAUAUGAUGAUUAGGAAUUGGCAUUUGAAUUAGGGGCACUGUGACUUGAUGUUGUGUUUGUGAAACGCUGUGGUGGUAGUGUAAUUCCCAUUACGCUUGAGACAGUAUUGUCGUAGGUUCUUACAUAGUGAUUAGUGUACAGUUGGUAUUGCAGUAUUCAUAUUUUCUCGCAUGAUGUGAUAUUGUUUGUUAUUGGUUGGUCCAAUGUUUGCUGUUGCCUUGAUUGUCUAUGAAAUUGCAAUCUGGCACUUUCUUUGUUGUGCUGUCUAUUCCUUCUUCUGGAUUCAGGUGAAGGGCAUAUUGGCACUUACACUAGAAGCACAUAGAUCUUACCUUCACCACCUACUGAUUUGGCCCUUUACUGCAUUUUGUGAACACAUGUUACUUAAGGGAUCUUAUGUUGAUGGUUGUGGAAAGGUUGUUGGUUUUACAUAAUAGAAGAUCAAUGGAAAAUGAUUAGUCGAGUGUCUAAAGACUUAGAAAAGUAUUCAAUGGGAGCAGUUCUGAGGACACUGUCCACUGGCAACCAAACAGUGUCUGCACGAUUCAAUUGCAGAUAGUCUACAUGAGCAUACUGCUAGGUAUAUGCACUCCUUAUUGCUUGCUCUACUGCCAGUCUAAUGUGCUUAGUUCUCUGCAUCUCUGCUGAUGUUUAGUGUGGUACAGAUAAUUGGUCUUGAAACGUGAGGGCAUACAUAUACUGUAGCAUGAACGGACAUAUGAAUUUUAGUUUUUGGAUCUGCUAGUGGUAAAAAAAAAAAGGCAUAAGAAUGGUAAAAAAAAUGAAAUUCAACCUGGACCUUAUUUUUUCUUUAGAUCACCGAGCAUGAUUGGACUUCUGAGGUACAUUGAGAUGAGAAAAAUAGUUAAUUGAUUUACAUAGCAUUGGAAGUUUGGUGAAUACAGGUGAAUUGUAGGAAAUUUAGCUGAUGUUGAUGAGAACGUGGCCUAGAUGCUCUACUUAAUUUAGAGUAAUUUUAAGUUGGAUGACGGGUUAUGUGUUUAGGUCAGAAGUGUCUCCUUCGAAGUUCUACAUUUAAUAUUGCCAUUGCUAGGUCAGGCUGACAUGUAAAACACAAAAUGAUUGAUAUGUUUCUUAUAACAUAGUUGGCAUGGUCUGCAAUUUCAAGGACAUGGUGAGGAGCACUUUUCCACUACUUUUUAAUGGGGAAACAAUUUCUGACUUAAAGUGAAAAUCUACUUUUAAGUUUUUUAGUGUCACUUGUAACUUAUGGUGCAUAAAAGACAUCUGAAAAUGUUCUUGAAUUUUAUGAUCUGCAUUAAGAUUGUCUUUCGAGCACAAAAUACUCCUCAGCAUCGAUUGGACCACUGUUUCUACAUGGAGUGUGACGACAUGCUAUGUUUGAUUCUGUCAUAGUUUUUUUUAUCUCUGGUUGGCGUACAAAUGCAAAGAUGUUAUUCGAUCUCCAUUAUUUGAUUAGCAUGCUGACACAACUUGAUUACGAAAUAUUACUGGCCUAUAAGCACAUUUUUCUGUGUCUCCAUGGUACUCUAAUUCUGGCAAGCACGAAAGAUACUUGGUCUAGAAUGAGUUAUUAGUUGGUUAUGAUGCUGCAUAUUUAGUGAUUUAGACCAGUUGAUGAUGUAGCUGCAUUCUGAAGUUUUAUUACUUAGUAAAGAUUGUAGCAAGCAUUAUUAAUGUAGUACAGUUUUAUAAGGCGGAUGGAUUGAAGUUUCAUUUCUCAAAUGUAAAAGUAUAAUUCCAAUUCUCUUCCUAAAACAUUGGCUGGGUAAGGAUGGUCUAUAUCCAGUAUUGCCUGAAAGGUAUAUUUAUAUUUACAUGCAUAAACAGGUUUUACACAUAGAUUAUGUCAUGGUUACCUGGCAGGUUGGCAGGAGUCAAACUAUAAUACCUUAAGGAAUUAAGUGAGACUGAAUAAAUAGGUUAUACAACCUUUUUUACUUAUUACAGAGUAAGAUUCGGUUCACUACAGUACUGUUUCUCUUGUUCUUGAGAGUUGUUGCACUCUUGUAAGUUGAACAGACAGAAAAAUAUUGUCUAGCUGUUGAAAAGGUGAUAUAUGCAUGCUUCUUUUCUUCCUUUGCAGUUUAAGAGAUAAAUGGUAUAUGAAAAUCCUUUUUGGCAGAAUGAGAUGCUACCGAGGAGCGAUCUAUUGAUUUUGAAGGUCUAAACUAUAGCCUAGAGCCAUAUCCUGGUGUUGUUUAGAGAAACACAUGGCUUUCUUUUCAUCUUUUGUAAGUUGCAGUAAUGCACUGAGCAAGUGCCUUAACAACAUGACGGCGAGCCUUGUGCUGGAAGAAAAAUGAGCAUAUUUGUGGGAUUUGACCGAAUAAAAUUGAAGAGUUUUUGGAGUAUAUUUUUUGUAUGAUGUGAUCUCUCUAUUUGAUUUUUUGAGCCUUGUUCAUGACGAUGUUUUGCUGACUACAUAUUCCCUGGCUUCUUCAUGACCGUUUCUUCCACUGGCUUUGUGUUUCGUGACAGUUCUUUAUUCUGCUUCCAAUUUAACUGUAAGGGAAAUUUUUACAAACCUUCCCUGAGGUUUAUGACAAUUUCAUUGAGCUCCCUCAAGGUUUUGAAAAUUACACAUAAAAUGAUAAUACUAUCUUAAUAUGUUAAUAAAACUCUUUUGUUGGACGUGUAUAUACAAAGAAUAGAAUUUAUAAUUAUUUUUUCUUUUCCUUUUCUCUUCUUAUUCCUUUUUUGUUAUAUAUUUUGGCUAGUGAAACUGUAGAAAAGUAUAAAUAUCGACGCUGAAUGUUGAACUGGUGACUUUUUUUUUUUUUGAACGACUUAGAAUGCGAUCCAAUAUUUAUUUGUUGAUCAUUUUUUUAAUCAAAAGGCACACUAACUCAAAACGAAACGGUCAAAACUACUACAAAAUUAUGGUAAUUCCAGCAAUUUAAAAAUUCACAAACUCUAAAAGUAGUAUGGCAAUAUUUUCAUCUCCAAUUUAGAAGAAUAUUUAUCCCCAGUAAAUCACUAUUGUCAUAAUUACUUAUCAAACAAUAAAUAUGGUAUUGAAAACUUGAUACUCGUUUCCUUAUAUUUGUGCUAAUAAUUACUUUGGAAAGUAAUUAAACAUUAUAAGUUGAACGUAUUUUGGGGUAUUCAUUUAAAUUGCUAGCUAAUGUUUAGUUACCAAGAGUGUCAGAUGAAGGGAGAUAUGUGUAAUUUUUGAAACCUCAAAGGACUUCAAUGGAAUUGUCACAAAUCUCAAGGAAAGUUUAAGAAAUUAUCCCUAAUGGUAAUGUUCAACUCUUGAGAGGCCAUUUGUUCUCAACUUGUUCUGUCAUCUUAGAUCUGGAUCUAGAAUGUUAGGUGAGGUCCUAAUUAUUGACCAAUGACAUGAACUUGAAAUCAUGAAGUGGGCUUGAGAUUCUGGUUUUAUUACGAAGAAUAAAAUGCUAGAAAACUCUUGACAAUGGUCUGAAGUCUUCUAUCCUAUACAAGCAACUUAUUAUGGUUGACUACUAAUGAAUGUAAGGGUCAAAAAUAUCUCAGUUGGAAAAAUAUUUUUAACAAAUCAAUACAGCUCCAGUGAAUAGGAACGGAUUCAUGAUUCUGAUGAGAAAUUACUACAUGGUUCUACUACAAUUCAUCAUAGAGCACAUGUCAUGGCUAUGGCCCAACAAAUGACCUAGUCUAAUAACUCCGUCCAAAUUCAUAUUAAUUUGCUCUUUUUUUUUACUGCAUGGUCCUCAACUUGGAUGGUAGAUUAUUUGUACAAAUUUAUUUGCUUGCAUUAAAAGUAUAUUUUUUAUUAUUUUUUUUAUCUCACAUACACCAGAUCGAAAAAGUAUUGCAGUAUUAUUCCAAAUAAUCUACUGUCCACAAAUAUAAUAAACCAAAAGAUUUCAUCAACUAUUUUGUAGCCUACAACAAUUCAACACGAGACGUAGCUAGAGGCUAUAUAGCAUUUGAAAGGCGCACAAAAACAAAAAGGAAAAAAUGAAUAAAUAUUUGGACUCAAAAAGGAAAAUACAACAUUCAUUAGAUUCAAGCAUCCUGCAAAAUCCAUCUUUUUGAAUAUUUUCAUACGUUCUUGGUGAUUGCAAGUUUCUUUUUUGCGUUAAUCUUUCUUGACAUGCAAAGGAGAAUUACUACUACAACCUUCAAAGGUUUACCCCUUUUUGGGGACACAUAGUACAAAGAUGUUUCAUAUUAUGACGAUCCAACUAAUACUUUGGUUAAAAUCUUAAAAAAUACAAGCUAAUUGUGUUUAAGAUUGAGGUAUAUAUUCCUGAAAUUGCAUAAAAUUAAAUACUAAUUAUAUGUGUAACUCUACUUUUUUUUUUUUUUUUUGCCUUUUCUUUUACCUCCCUCCUUUUCCAAAUCCACUUCUAACCCCCAAUCUGCUAGGUCAGAGCCGAACCCGUAACCUAGCAGGCGAGGAGGACUUCAAAAGCCCUCACCUAAGCAAACCCACUAAGGGGCUUGAUUAUAUAUAACUCUACCUGCUUACCCUUUACAUUAAAAUUAAAACCAAUGCUAGAAAUAUUAGAGGCCAUUAGGAUUAGGGGUGCAAUUUAAUGAGUUGAGUUGGAGCAUUCUAUUGAUCGAGCACCAGAAUCAAAAUGUUCAUCUGCAAAGAAAGUUUGGACCGAACCCAGUCCCUUAUAGAGAUCCUCACUUGUGAGCACUCAAAUUCAGCAGAAUUCAUCAUUCCAUUCUUAUCCUGUCUCAACUCCAAUUGAAAAGCUGUUUCAUUAAACUCUGAAAAAGAUUCAUUUCUUCCUUCCCCGGUGUUGUGUUCAAUUUCUUUACCACUCCUCUUGUCUCCGACAGAAUCUUGCACGCGUGAAGCUUCUUGCACCUUUAUUUCUUCUAAAAUUUGUGACCUCUGCUUUUGGAUUUUGUCGUCUAUGGCUCAAUAACUUUGGUGGAUAUUCUAGUGAAGCUUCAUGAGAUUGAAAACGAAUAUCUCCAUCCGAAGGAGCUAUUUUUUGGGGGCUUUAUGGGCUCAUAAAGGUUAAGAUAUUCAACUUUUUGCAUGCAAAUUGGAAAUGUUGUGAAGACGUAAUGUAUCCUUGGCUUGUGUUCCAUGAAAGAGGCUUAUUCGUCCUUGGAAAAGAGAAAUGCCCUUUUCCACCAGAGUAGGGAAACGCAAAAGCCCGAAAAGAAAAGAGAGCAAUGCAGGCAAUCAAUGUCUCAAAAUAGAAAACUAUCAUUUCAACAAAAAAUUGUGGAAAAAGGAAAUUAUCAAUUCAAUUUUUGAGGCUUGAUCAAUGAUCUUUUAUCUAACUUUUGAAGUUAACCAGACAUUUCUUCCAAAAACAAAAACCCAAGAAAAAGGAAAACACAAUUUCUUUUUUCUUUUUUUGCUGAGAUAAAAAAGAAAUGCAUAAAUAACAUGAAAAUAUAGAAAUGCUGCGUGGAUGUUCUGCUACCACAAAAAAAAUGUCGGCAGAGUUCACUUUCAAAGUUAAUAUACCAUGCAGAAGUGGCAUUUCACAAAAAUGAGAUGAUCCCAAAAGAUAGGAAUCAGGAUAAGAAGAAGAGAAAGUUUUGGACGUUUCACCUACCACCCAAAUACGCCAAACAAAGUAUGGUCCAGUGUGUAGAAUUGAUUCCACGGCAUCGUUCCAUAUGAGUACAAGGUGUUUUAAUUAGUGAGGACUGUGGGAUCUAUGUGUCUCGUUGUCUUGUACUUCCAUUGCCAUCUUCUGAACAUUUUCAACUGCUACAGAGACCAGUCACAUUAUUGCUUGUUCUUGAAAGCUUCAAUCAUGGGGCUUAGGCUUAGCAUUCAUUCAAUGGUUGAGAUUUCAAGGCAACAACGUGGAAGAAUUUAGUUUGGAUUGAUGCCCUUUUGCUGUUAUAUAUGCUUGAAAGCUAUGUUUGAGUCGAGCAGCUCCACUAUCAAGAAGUGAAAGUACCAUGAUUGAAUUCUGCCAGUUGCUUCUUGUAUUUAACACUCAGGGCCACCACCGCCGUGGGUGAGAGAACGGAUGAUUUGUAAAUAUUUGCUCAAGACUUUAUAUAUAUUCAGAUAAAAUUCAAACUUUUUAGUAUUUCGGUAAGGUACAAAAACCCAAAUUGAUACUUUUAAAUAGUUUUUGAGACCUAUUAUCAUUACUAAGUAGCAGUAAAAAAAUUGGUAUUCAUUUUUUCACGAUAUUGUGCAUAAAAUUGGCUUGCCAAUGCUUGCAUCAGUUUUCGUCUUUAAAUUUGACACAAUGCAAGAUUUCACCUACCUUUGCCCAGAUGUGACUGAAACUCGUGCAACUCCUGUCAAUUCUUUCGAAGCCAUUCUAGUAAAAGGCCAGAUAACCUUCUUGUUCUUCAGUUGAUGGUGAAAAGACCCAUCAAUUUUGCUAGGCCACAUCCCUAGUGUUCCCAACAAUAAUGUCUUAACCAAGCCCUAAUGCUUUUAACUCUUUGUCAAAUUGUGGUUCUAAUCUCUAGAGAUAGUUAUUCUAUUAUACUUGUGGUCCCUCUCAUCCACUAGAAAAUAAUACUGUGCCAUGGUUGCUCUUGUAGCAAACAAAUUGUUAAGAAAAAAAAAUUGAAUAUUAUCCAAAUGUUUGUACAAAAAAAUUUUCUCCUUAUCUACCAACCUUAUCUACGUUUUAGACCCUGUUUGAUAAUUCAAUUCAACGUUUAGACGAGUCUAAUAACAAAACGUAGAAUAUCUGAAUUAAUUAGAUAAUACUUCAAUUUUACCAAACAGACCCAAAUGUCUAAAUAUGCUAUUGAUCAGAAUCUACCUCAUUUUAAAAUCUAUCUACAAACGUUAUUUACUUAUUUAUUUAGAGGACUUGCUAUGUACUUUAGCCGAUCAUUUAGUAGAUUGAUAAAGAAGUGGCGUUAUGCCCCUAUUACCUUAAUUGGUCUAAUUCUUCCCGUAACAGUAGCUAGCUACCAUGACUAAAAGGUUCAAUUUUAAUCAAAAGAUAGGUCAAUAAAUCCUUUAUCAAAAAUUUCAUGAUAGGCAUUAUAAUUUGGUUUUCAAUAGUUAAUUAUACCACAAUUACUCUCUUUUUUUUUUUUGUUUUGUUUUAGAGAAUUAAUCAACAUAUCUUUUAAGAUGAAUCAUUCGGUUAAAAAUUUAGUUUAACUUAAGACAAAGCUCAAGGGGAUUAAAUUAACUUUAUUCACAAAAAAAAAAUGGUGAACAAAAAAAAUUGUAUAUUAGUUAUUGCCCAUUUAUUUGUGCCCAUGGAACGACCAGCUGGGAUUUUCAACGGUCAUUUAAACUAUGAGCCUUCCCGCCUUCACGGCCACCACAAACACCGCCAACCAACUCCCUCCACCACCUCUUCCCCAUAAUCCCACCACCAACCCACCACCGCCCAACACCAUCACCGUCAAUGGCAGUCCUCAAAAGCAUCAACCCACCUUCAAGACCACCCAGAACAAACCAAAUACUCCUAUUGAUGAGCUAAUAGUUUCAUGGACUUCUUCGAUUGCCUACCAUUGCCAGAAAGGUCGGUUAUCCGUAGCGGCCUCAGAGUUCAACCGCAUGAGGCUCUCCGGUGUUGAACCCAAUCACGUUACUUUCGUGAGCAUCAUCUCUGGAUGUGCCCAUUUUCCAGCUCGGGCUUUGUAUUUUGGAGCUGCUAUUCAUGGGUAUACACGAAAACUCGGGUUGGAUACAGGGGAUGUGAAGGUUGGAUCGGCUCUUAUUGAUAUGUACUCCAAGUUUGGACAAAUGGGUCUGGCUAGAUUGUGUUUUGAUCACAUGGGGUUCAAGAACAAGGUGUCUUGGAACACUAUGAUUGAUGGGUACAUGAGGAAUGGCGAUUUUGAAGCAGCAGUGAAUCUGUUCGAUGAAAUGCCUGAGAGGGAUGCAAUUACUUGGACUGCUUUGAUUGUGUGGAUUUUCGAAACAAGGACUUUUCCAGGAAGCUUUGGUAUGGUUUCAGGAGAUGCAGUUAUCAGGGCAAGAACCUGAUUAUGUAACCUUGAUCUCCUUAUUAUCUGCAAUUGCUAAUUUGGGAAUGCUUGGUUUAGGCCUAUGGUUGCAUCGAUAUGUGAUGGGAUGUGACCUGAGGGAUAACAUUCGGGUGAAUAAUUCAUUGAUUGACAUGUAUUGUAGUGUGUCUGUUGGAUCUGUUGAUUUGGCUCGUCAAGUGUUCAAAAGCAUGCCUAAACGGAGUUUGGUAUCGUGGAACUCCAUCAUUGUUGGCUUGGCAAUGAAUGGGCAUGCAGAGGAGGCAAUCGAGUAUUUCUGGUUGAUGCAAAAGGAUGGGUUUGAACCAGAUGCUGUGAGCUUUACUGGAGCUCUCACUGCAUGUAGCCACGCAGGUUUAGUAAAAGAGGGCCUCAAUUUGUUUUCUACAAUGAGCACAGUACAUAGAAUCUCUCCAAGAAUUGAGCAUUAUGGCUGCAUGGUAGAUCUAUACAGUCGAGCAGGGAUGUUAGAAAAUGCAUUGGAGGUGAUAGAAGACAUGCCCAUGAAGCCAAAUGAAGUUGUAUUGGGAUCAUUAUUAGCAGCAUGUAGGAACAAGGGGGAUGUCAAAUUGGCUGAAAGGCUUAUGAGUUAUAUUUAUCAAAUGGAUCCUGAAGGAGAUUCUAAUCAUGUAUUGCUUUCCAACAUAUAUGCAGCACUUGGAAGUUGGCAUGGGGCAAGCCAUGUUAGGAAGAAAAUGAAGGCACUUGGGAUACGGAAAAAACCAGGAAUCAGUUCAAUUGAGCUUGAUGGUGUCAUCCAUGAAUUUGUAGCUGGUGAUAAAUCCCAUGUCGAGACAGAGUACGUUUAUGCCAUGCUAGAAUCGUUGUCGCUAGAGCUAAGAGUAUCAGGUUACAUGCCAGAGACUAAUUUAUCAGAAUUGUACGAGUAUGACUGAAUCAUUGGUAACGUCGGAUGUUCAUGUUGUUGAAGAGAACACAGAAUCUGUUUCCCUCCUUGAAAUUUAUUUCGUUGCACAAAUGAAAUUUUGAUAGAAUGUCCACCAUUUUGAUUUUGUCUUGCUUACUUUAGCUUGUUUGAGCAUACUAGGAAAGUUAACAUAGAACGUAAACAGAUUUCAGUGGAAUCCUACGCCACCAACGGAGGUCCUGCAAGUAGAUAGUAGUGAGGUAGGAAUGAACUAGAGUUAAGAGGAUGGAAAAUAUAAAUUACCCCAUUAUGGUAAAUGAGAUAUUUUUUAUGACCUCUCCAAAUAUGACACUGUCAUCCUUGCUUCUGCAGUCCUUCAGCAAUGCAACCUCACUCACAUGAUCAGUUUUUGAAUCAAAAUCAAUGAACUUAUUAGGUGGAAGAUAUUUACAAAAAUCAUCACCAUUAUUAGCUCUCAAGUGCAGAAAACCAUUGAAUGACACUCCUGUUGUUCUUUCAGGACGCUGAUAAGGAAAACUUAGCUCUUACCAACCUUUGAUUUUCAAUCCUGCCUCCAAUACAAGAUCAUCUUUGCAAUUUGGAGUCUGUCUAUCUAUCUGUAAUCCAUAUCACUGCUUCUAAUCGUCUGUGCAUGAGCUGUAACAAUUCUCAGAAUUUUACAACAUAUAUAGUGAGGAUUUCUUGCACCAUAGUCAGGUCCAUAUCGUCUAAUUCUAGUAUGUGGCUGAAGUAUGUUGUCCACGGAUUCCACAAGUAGAAAGAACUUCCAAGAAUUAUAAGCAACAAACCGUUGCAUGAACCUGCAAUCUAGAUUUCAUCAUAGUACUGCAAUGCUGCUCGCUCCCAUGAUACUUUUGGUUCAAGUCUUCGCAGUUUGCAGUACAUAAAGUAGAAACGAGGAAUUCCUUCACAUGGCAUCUCAUCAUAUGAUUCUUUCGAGUACUAAUGACAUAAAAACUGCUUUUGCAUGUCCAAGAUCACGGAUAAGGUAGAAUUCAGAUUGGAAAUUAUGGAAUUUCACAGCUUGGUUAUGCACUUGAAUCUUAUUACUACGAAUUAUAUCAUUUGGAAUUGAGGCAGUUGUACUAAUUCAUCGAACUGUCGUAGUUCUAUGAUCAAAGACUAAGGAAGAAGGUCAAGAAUGGCAAAGGCAACAGAGGCUCAAAAACAAAUAAAACCGUUUGUGGAAAGCUGGGAAGCAUAAAUGGUAAAUUUGGUUGGACUCAUCGUUGUUUAGCUUUCAUUAGCUGCAAAUCCAACCAAAUCCUGCAACCGACUGCUUAUAAAUUUAGAAUUGCAAAAAAAAAUCAACAAUGACAGAUUAUCAAAUUUAAAAACAAAAUUAUAGAAUAUUUUCCACAUGAAUGGACCAAAAUUGCUUACAAAUCAUCAGGGAACAAAAUUUUCUUGAGACAUUGCCGACAUGUUGUUUGAUCACUUCUAUGAUUACUAAUAAUUUUAGAACUGAAAUUAGCUAAGAUCGAACUAGCUCUUCAUUCUCCACUAAAUUAUUAUAUGAUUAGCUAGAUUAAUGGCACCGGCUAUAGAGUUUAUUCUUGAAUACACGAAACCUAUGCACAUCUCUGACUAAAAUUAAGAUUAUUUUUCAUCUUGUAGGUGACAUUACAAUAAGGGGGGAGUAUUUAUGGAAUAGUGCCACACUUUUAUGCGAAAGUAUAUGUAAUUUGGAAGUUGUUAAUUUUAAAGGAGCACCAAAUGAAAAAUUCUUUGAUUUUUCAAUGGUCUUCAAUACGUUUUUGGUGCUUCAACGUGCACAUAAAUGGGCAACAAAAAGAAAAGCUCUUGUUUGAUUUACUUCUUUAUGACCUUUAUAUAUAUGUUUAUAAGACAUAAAACAAAACUCUUUGGAAAUCUUGUAUAUCUUUUAUUGAAAGAUAAGUAUAGUAUAUAGUCUUUAUUUUUUCUUUAUAUAAAACUUCUUUUGAACUGUAAUAGAAUAAGAAAGUACGUGGAAUAUCAACUUUUAUAUCUUUAUUCAAAAGAAAAAUAUAUUUAGUUUAGUAUUACAAAAAAUAUCCCUAGAAUUUUUUAAAUCCAUGUGCUCUAAUGCUAGUAUUUGAAAAUUCACCGAUUUAAUCCUUGAAUGUUUAUUCUUUAUUUUCUAAUUGGCCCUCAUUCCAAUUCGAGCAAAGUUUUUCUCUCCUCUAGUAAAUCAUAUCGUCCCACAUGAGUACCAAGGUAUGUAUCAAGAACCAUGGGAAAUGUCCAUGACUGAAUUGGUGAAUUUGAAGUUCAUCAUUCUUGAUGAUUUAAUCCUUUCAUAUUUAGCAAUUGUCUGCACACAUUAGCGAGUGUGAGAUUAAUUCAACUAGGGAUGGGAAUGGAAGCAGUUCUGCUUCAUUUUCGUUUUCAACCAAUAAUUAGAUGCUGAUUCACCCUCCAUAUCUAAGCAUUUUUAUUCCCAUAUUAAUAGCCGGGGAUUAAAUACAAAAUUACGUGUAUUUAAUUAGUAAUUAUGUUCUGGAUGACAUAUCCUAUAGAGUAUAAUUUUUCCAAAAGACUAGCUCUUUUUUUUUUUCUUUCUAAAGAUUUUUUUAAUGGAGGCUCCAUAUACUCGUGUUAGUACACAUAAUUUAUGCCAAGAUCACCAUGUCAAUAUAUGCACUCAAAUUGAUUAUCUGUCCAUUGCAAUUAAACCCUUUCCUGAUAUAGCUUUAAUUUUCUUAAAAACUAACACCUUUGAAACAUUUUGUACACCCAUUAAACAAACCUUUUUUUUAAAAAAAAAAAAUUAUGGGAAUAAAACUUGCUUCAAUGCUAGAAGAAAAAAAAAACGAAGGCUUCUACAAUAAAGAUUAGAGUGUAUGUAUCCUAUAUCGACUGCUCCAGCUCAUUAUGCUUCCCCUCGAGAUAUGGUGACAUCUCCCAGCCAGCCAACCCUAACAGCAUUUGCCAUGAUCAUAUGGAAACUUUUUCUGAUAAAAUCAGAUAUGUAUAGCCUUUACAACUUGCAGUUUCUGUUAUGCUUAGAUUCCACUUUGGUACGGUGGACUAUGAAGCUCACAAAUUAUAUACUGUCACUUUUUCCAGGAGAUUUUGCCUUUUUUCUCCAAUGUCCUAAAUUCAGAAUCAAAUUGGUAGAAGUACGAAAAUCCCAUCUGGGAUUCUCUUCAGUAGAUACUAAAAAUCAUUCUCUUCACAUCAAAGCAGUAUUUUACUAUAUUGCCAUUCUUGACUAUGAAAUGGGUAGUUGUUGCUGCAUGAAAUGAACACAAGAAAUCUGUACAUGGGAGUGUAAAGUCAAUGUAUAUGAGCACAGAUUGAAAAGAUCUUAUGGGUACAUAGCUAUACAAAUGUAGCUGUGAACUGGGAUUUUGUCAAUAGAAGUAAAUUCAACUGAUACGCAAUGAUUAGAUUUGAUUAUUCUUUGUGUGUAUAUAUGGAUAUGGAUGGCUGUUUUUAUCAUAUCCAAAUCAAGCGGGACUGAUCGAUUGAUGUGGUCUUUGCCGCUUGCAGAGGCCCUUUUAGUCACCGGUUUUAAUGCAUGGCAUGCAGAUUCAGGAAGACAGGAUUGGGUGGCCCUGCGGUGAUCUAUGCAGACCUUGAUAAAAUUUUGAAGAUUGAAAAAGCGAACAAUGAGCUCAUCAAGAACUUGGAGACAACAGAGUAACGAAGGAUGCUUUGGAUGCCUUUUGGAAUUGAUCAACGACUUGAGAGACAGCAGACUAAUUAUGGAUGCUUGAGAUCCUUUUGAAAUUGGACUAGCAUUCUGAAUUUUUAGUUGCCUUAAUUUGAAGCGUUAAAUACAAAAACCAAACAAAGUUUACUUCGAACUAGUUUUUGAGUUUUGGGAUCCCUUUGUGGACUAGGAGAGAAUUGGUGUAAACUCGAACGUCCGGUGAUCAUACUGGAUCUGAUUAAUUUAAAGUCGAGCAUUAUUAGAUUCUUUUCGAAAGAUAUUUUCAACGUUGUCUUUUUCAUCCACAAAACUUUUACUGUAGAAACUUUAUUUAAGUAGUAUCAAGUUCUUUUUCACUUGACUCAAUAAUCACUGGUGACUAAGCGGGGAUUGACUGCAUGCCAUUAGAGUAAAUAUCAAGUUUGCUUCAAAAGAAUGUGCACAAUCACUACUAUUAAUUUAACCUAGCUUAAUUUUCUUUAUGUAUAACUGGUUGUUUUCUCAUUGCUAAUCUCUAAUUGUUUCUACCAUUUGGCAGUUGGUUACCAUCGCCCUAUCUUUUAUUGUAAACACUUGUUUAUUUCUAUACCAACAACAAAUUUUAUCCGUAGACUAAAUAAAUUGCAUCGACAUAAUUAAGACAUUACAUAUAAGCAUGAGCAUCUUGCAUUGAAAGGCAUUUUCUUCCCUAGUAGCUGACACAAGACUUACAAAGAAAAUUGUACUACCAAAGCUAAAACCAGGUACUUUAUGAUAGCAUUACCUCUGACCAGACUAGACUAUGAAUUUCAGAAAAGACUGCCUAGAUCAUCCUGUCGGAUGAUAUAUACAUAUCUUGAAUAAAAAUUGCUUGCUAGUUCAAUUAGACUGAUUUGGGUUCGGGUUCGAAUUCUGUCUCCAACAGUAAAGAGGGUGUGAGAAAGAGUGAAAGAAUUUUUUUUAAAAAAAGGGCUUAUCAUUAAUUGUGGAAUCAAGUAUUGGAUUAAGAAAAUUUGUCACAAUCUCCAAGAGUUGUAACAUUGCAACUUUCAUACAGAGUAACAAUUUACUAUCAAAGUGGAGUUGUUUAAUGCCCUCAAUAAUAUUGAACAAUAAUACAAACAAAACAAAACAAAAAUUGUAACUAAUGGCCCUGUUGGGCUGGUGCGCCAGCAGAGAUUUUGUAAGACAAUUGUAAGUGACUUCUUUGGCAAAAUAAGAUGGUUAGACUACUAUGUAUUACAAGGACAGCUAGUUAGUUCUUUUUGCGUUCCUUCACCUUUAUUCAAGCGAGAAAGAAAUAUUUCUGUCUUUGAAAGAAAAUUCACGUUCAACGAAAAUUUCUACCUUUUAAUUUUUGAAAAUUCAUUGAAAUUAUUCCUUGCCGGUAACCACUAUUUCAUAGACAUGAUCAAGUCCCCCUGUUAAACACUGUAGCUAGGUCAAGUAGGGCAUUCGAUUUUUACAAGUUUUUAGGGUUUAAUGAAUCUCAAGAGAGAAAACAAAACCACAUUUUUGAACUUUCUUCCCUCUUUUUAGAAUGUAUGGUCCAAAGUUAAGUCGUCCAAACUUUUUGUUGAUGUAGCUGAAUGUCCUUAAAAUGUAGUCGAUGUCUAAUGACUUAGUUCAAGGGAAUAUAAUGCGCCUUCUGCUUUGGAUUAACAUGUGACAAAAUGCAGUGUAUAUAGAGCAAAAGAUCAUGCUACGAUAGCAUUACAUUACCAUUAGGAAACGAUAAUAAGUAUCUUGCAUGUUGACAUCAUACUAAGCAAGCCAAAAAACUUUGUCGCACAUUUUCUAGAUUUAUAGCAGGAUCGGAGUAGCCAAAACUUAAGACAACUCUGUCUCAAAAGGGUGGGGAUCCACAAAAGCACUAUGGUGUCUUGGCGUUCUUGGGCCGCCACCGUGGUGGUGCAAGGGGUCUGGACCCAUCGGAGCCUCCCUCAACUCCCAACCAGCACCAACCUUCAUCCCUUUGCCACCACUUGCCGAUCCAGCCAUGCCCCCACUCUUGAAAACCAUUUCAUGGCCCUUCAUCCCUUCAAGCAACUAUACACGUGUAAAACCAAAAUUACUUGACAUUUCAAUGCAUCAAAAUAAACCAAAGAAAUGUUUAAAAAAAAAAGAGUACCCUUUAAACUUUUUUUUCCUUUUUUUUUUCUUAUAGGGAGAUUUUCUGAUUUUUCACUUAGUUAUUGAUGCAUUUUGCUGCAUAUGGAAAACCACCUUUCUGGAAUGCACUUCAUGCAGAGUUGCUUUGACGUAGAAGCAUCCACUGCCCAUCUUGCAAUCUGCCAAGGCUAAAAUACAUGUUAAAUAAUCAAUGACCAAACUCAAGUACCAAACUUUAUCGAUUAAUCUCACAUCUACAAAGUACAAACACGAAGACUCAAGUACCAGAAGCUUGGAGCUGCAUGACAAAGAGGCAGCACAAGGCAGUGAUGAAGAGCAUGACAGCAGACUUGGAAACAAUAGAAAGGAAGGCCAUUUUGGUAUGGUACUUUUACUAGUGCAUGCAAAUGCAAUCUCUCAGAAAGAAAGUAGAGGAAUGGUGAGUGUGUGAAGCUUAUGAAGCCAAAAAUGGCCAAUUUAUAGAAGUCUUGGAAGGCUAUCAAAUGAUUGCACGAGCAGCCAAUUUUGGAGAGAGAUUACACAACAAUUUAAGACACUCUAAAACUACAACAAUCCAUCUGCAAAGUAGUAGUAGACUAGUAGUAACUGAGAUACGAUACUCAUCUCAUCAUCUUUAUUACUGAUGACAACUUGUGCAGGUGACCCUUGUCAACGGCCAGCUCAUCAAACCAGUAUUCCUUGGGGACGGCGCAGCCUUCGACGAUGUCACUCGCACAUCAGAAAGUUAAUUUAGUGUCCUUGCUAGCAAAGCCUUUAGCAGUUGUUAGCAGCCCCCUUGGCAAACUAGUCUACUAGACUAGUAUUUUCCACAACUACAAGUCCACAAUUAGUAGUACAUGCAUCCAUAGAGUUCUGGCAAAUUAGUCUACUAGACAAGUACGUUCCACAACUACAAAUCCACAAAUUGUACAUUCAUCAAUCAAGUUCUUGCAACUUUACCUAAUUUACGUCUAUUUAAAUGGGUUCAGUACCAUAUAUGCAAUAUAAUGUAUUAUAUGUUGUUGCUCAAAAAAAAAAAAAAAGAAGGUAUUAGGUGUUGUUAGUUAAGAGUUUGGCAAAAAGUAUCUUUAUUACUAGUUUUUACAAACCAAACAUUAUAAAUUAAUUUUCAUAAAUUUAACCUCACAUUUUAUGUCUCUGUCCCCUCUCUUUUUCAAGCCCUAUAGUAUCGAAAUUAGAAUGUAUAGGGAGGGAAAGUUAUUGUAACAAGUGCAUAAAUGUAAAUGCUUGUUUUGUUUUAGGAUGAAUUGAGGUCAAUAUGAAUAUGAAUAAAUUAGUGCUUAAAUAGUUUGGGUAUACUUACAUUACAUGCUUAUUACUCGUUCAUAGAAAAGUAAGUCCGACUAAAUGCGCAUCAAGAAAGGAAAAAAAAUAAGUACAAAUAUAGAUAUUGCACAUAGUUCAGAAAACAAAAACGAUAUAUAUGCACACACGCGCACACACACACGCAUACAUACACCAUGCAUAAACUAUUCAAUCUUCCAUGCAAAUUUUAAUUUAGAAAGUAACCUAGUUUGUACUUUUUAUAGAAAAUAAUAUAAUUUUAAACCGCUUCGAAGAAUACGUGAUGAGGGUAUUUACAUUUAAUAAUUUUCUUGAUUGAGGUCCCAAAUAAUCGUCAAGAAUUUUGUGCUAAAAUAGUUUAGGUAUAAUUGCCGGCUUAUUAUUUACUUGUCAAAAAAUAAGUCCAAGUAAAUUCCGGAUUCAAAAAAAAAAGAAAAAAAAAAAAGACUAAUCCAUACGUGAAAUAAGAGGAACAAAACUAACUCUAAGAUAUGGCGAAUAGCUCAAAAAAAAAAGAAAAAUUGAUGUAAAACAUAAACGAUAUUGUGUACGUUGUCUGGAAUUAUAAAAACUGUAUCCAUGCAAAAAUGUAAUUGAAAUUGCCUGCAUUUCUUAGAAAUCUGUCUAGUUCCUACUUUCUAUAAAACAACAUUUUAAUUCUAAGGGAUAAUUUCAGAAACCUCCCCUGAGGUUUCUGACACUUUCACUGACAUCCCCUGAGGUUCUCAAAAUUUCACUUACCUCCCUUGAUAAAAAAUUGGGCCCCUUUUCUGACGUCAUCAGGGCCAAAAUUACAGAUAUAUCCCAAGUAGUUGGGGUUAAUUACUACCGUUUAGUUACAUAAUGGCAUCUGAUAUGAUUAAUUAAGCUUAACAACAAUAAUAGAAACUUGAUUUAUAUAAUAUUUUUAAAACCCUAAUACAUCUAAAUUUGAUUUUAUUUUUCAAAUUUAUAAGAUUUUUUAUAAAAAAAUGGGAUACGGAUAAGAUAUCCGGUUGGUUCGAUUUGCAUAGGUGCAUAUGAGAAUAUCCGAAUACUCCUGAAACCCGCAAGCGGGAUUCUGUGUUUUUUCUAUUUCAAGGUUAGCUCGCAUGCGGGUUAAUGUUAUAUUUGAGCGCGAGAAGAAAAAAUUGGUAAUUAGGCUCUUUGGGCAUUAUAAGUAAAUAUUUAAAUUAAUGGCAGUUUUAUUACACCAAUAUUAUUGUAUUAUCAUUAUUAUGAUUAUUGUAUUAUUUCUUAUGCAAAUAUAACAUUUAAUUAUCCAAGCAGUUUGAUUUUAUUUUUACAAUUUAUAAAAUUUUUAUCACUUAUAUAAUAUUUUUAAAACCCUAAUACAUCUAAAUUUGAAUCUAAUUUUCUACAAGUCAUACUUAUAAAUGCGAAAUCUAACAAAAAAGUUAAAUACAAUUUUUGCAGGUCAAAUUUAACAAAAUGCGAGCUAUUUGCAAAAUUUUAAAUAUUUGCAACAUUUUUUAAAACAAAAAUUAGAAGCUUUCUGCAAAUAAUUCCCUACCUCUCAAAAAAUAACAAAAUAAAAAAGAUAAGAGCUCGCAUUUGCUUCCUAGAAAUAAUUCCCUAGCUCUUAAAAAAGGAAAAAAAAAAAUUGAGAAGAGCUCGCAUUCGUGGAAUGCGAGCUCAAUAACCAGAGCUCGCAUUCCACGAAUGCGAGCUCUUGUAAGCUCGCAUUUGUGAAAUUCACAAAUGCGAAGACCACCCUGACGGAAAUUAAACCCAAAAUCACCCCUUUUGUAGAAUUUUUUUUAAAAUUCAUCACAAAGUUGGAAAUUUCUCAAUAGAAAUACAACUUGUCUGGAUUCCUUUCACUCUCUGAUAUCAUUACGGUUGCUUUGCGAUUACAGCGGCAAACCUGUUUUUAAUGGAGAAAGAUGUAGGUGAAUUCCAUGAUUCUCCCCUAUGGCUUGAAGAGGCCAUGGUUGCAGCUAAAACUUUUUACUCAGAGCUCUAAUUGUAGCACAGCAAAUGCACUUGUUAUCACUCCAAAUUAGUAGCAAGAAUGUUAAUAGCUUGAAACCUCAGAGGUAGUUAAGUUGCUUUGCUUUAUAUGCUAUUGCUACUGAAACAGCAAACCUUCUGGCCGUUGCAAUUUGCAGCUAGCCGUUGCAAAAUCUGCCAAAUAACUGUUGCAUGGCACAUCUGGUGCAUGCAAAUUUUGUAUUGCCACUUACCCCCCACUUUACUAAUUAGUCCAAAUCAUUUAUUCUUCUUUGAAUCUUCUACUAAUACAACUUCUGCAAAGGGUAGCUAUGGAAUAAAAAUACCUUCUCACACAUGAAAAUAAUAUUUUAAUCUGAUUUGGACUGGAUUGUUACCACAAAAUCAAAAGCAAGGGAGGUAAGUGAAAUUUGAGAACCUCAGGGGAUGUCAGUGAAAGUGUCAGAAACCUCAGGGGAGGUUUCUGAAAUUAUCCCUAAUUCUAAUUCAUCUAGAGUUAAAGACUCAAAAUAGAUAGCAAUUCUGCUCCAAAUCCAUGCAAAAUCUCAGCGAUGACACAUGCGGCUCUUUUUGUUUUCCCCUUUACAUCUUUCUCCUCUGUCACUCGACAAAUGUCUUCUGCACCAUGGCUGAGUUGUAGCCCAACUGGUGCAGAUUGUACGAAUAAAAGUCUUUAUAGAACUAGCAGUUACCGUUACUAUAAAGUACUAAAAUCUCAGUAUAUUCUUGAAUCAGUACGGUGAUACUUUGGGUAGUGACCUUUAUUCUGGGACUAUACCUUUUAUGGUGUGGAAUGACGACCAUGCCCUUCUGAUGAACGUGCUUCUUGAAUCUUGAUGAUGCUGAUUCUUGACAGCAGGAUAUAAUACACAGAGAUGCAGAGCAGCUAGCUAGCUUUAGACUAUAGAUAGAGUUAGCUAUCUACUUGAGGAGAUUCGAUUUAUAUCAUGAUGCCUAUUUGCAGUUACAUGCACAGAGACACUAAAAAGAAAUUUUGAGGUUAGUACAGCUGAGAUUUGCAAUGUGAUAGUGGUCAAGAAGAUGGUCGACAGCGUGCAGUCAUCACUCAUCAGUGAUCAAAAAAUGAUGUCAUUGGAAAAAAAAUUUCUUUUCUUCAAAAAUUAUUUCUACCCAUGUUAUUUUCUUUGUUUGAUUUCGGAUUCUUUUUGAUAAAAUAGAAGUUAAUAUUAUUAAUAAACUAGUUACAAACCAGCCAACACAAUUUACUUGACAAAGAUCGUUGCAUUAAUGGCAGAUAAUACAUAAAACAUGACACGGUUUUAGCUGAUAUGAAAAAUCAUUAGAUUUAACAGAAUUACAAAAUAAAAAAGAUUACACUGUAAAUUACAAAUCAUCAUCAAUUGCACGAACUGCUCUAUAAAUAUCUAUACAUGUCUAUUUCUUUAGAUUUAUUAUCCAACCGAUUCAAGUUCAAAGCUAAUGUUGAAAUCUGACGAAAAGAUCCAAAAAUUCCAAAAUUAACAUAUAAACCAGAAAAAACUCAUAGAAAAAAAAAUGAUUUUUUUACAAUUCAUCUCUCUGAUCUACUUUUGAUUUGCAGAUUACCUGUCAAAAUUUAGUACCUUAUGCUAUCUAAGUGUAGCACUUUUAGUAGACGAAAUUUGUUAAUCACUGUUGAAUGAAACAACCAUACAUAAUACCAUUAUGCCUUGGAGCAAUCUUUUGAAGUCCAGUAGCUCUUGGCUCCCCGAUCUACAACGAUUACCUAUUUAGGUUCAAGAAAAUGUAGAAUAAAGAUUUGUAAUCAAAGUCAUGUAAGUAAUCAAUGUACCACCUCAUCAUGCAGAUGGUGUUGAUCCAAAUGGCAGACUUGGGAAACUACUGGUAAAUCAUGUAUAGCUUGUGGUAUGUAUUAGGACAAUUAAUCAUCAAAUAAUGGCAGUUGAUCAUUCUUUGUUUAGUGGGUAUAAAUAAAAAGAAUGACCAACCAAAAGAAUUGGCAGAUUGUGAUUGGAAAUAAUGCACCAGGUGAUAUUGUCACAUGGUAUACCUAUAUUUUUCUCAUAGAAUCCAUUAAAAGUGGAAUUGAGUUGAUUAGUACAAAAGCAUUUGCCUCAUUAGGCUUUUGGAUUGAUGGUUCAAUACCAUUUAAGCUAUUUUUACAUACACCAACAUGUCGGCAGAUUAUGACUUUCACAAUCAUAAUAAUAAUGUAAUAUGGCUAAGAAUAUGUGAAAACUGAUAUCUCUAAAGAAAUGGAUCAAUGAUCAUAACUCAGGAGUUGGAGUUAUGCACGUUUGGAUGAACAAAUGAAUUUUGAUGCAGAUCAUACAGGGCAAGAACAACUUGCAAAUAAGAUGAUUUGCGGAAAGAAUAUGUAUAAACAAGGCAAUCAACCUGAAAACUAGUAGUGAACAAUAUGAGGGUCAAGGUCCAUCGCCUUCCUUGUUUUCCCAACAAAUAGAUCCUUGGAUUUGAUCAAACCAGGAACAAGACCAAUCAGUGUUGUGAAAGAAAAUUGAGCCACUGCAUCAUGCCUUCCCAGUGAAACAAUAACCUUGAUUGAACGAGGCUUGUAAACGGCCAUCUUGCUUUCCUUUUGUUCAUCCAUCAAUAUCUUUAUGUUUUUUGCAGCAAUCAAAGCAUGCUUUUGAGCUAAAUACCCUUGUUUAAUUUCCUGGUUUACAAGUUCAUCUUAUGUUAGUACUGGAAUUGAUUUCUGAUGAUAUAUCAAAGCUGUUUUAAACUUUGAAUCUACUAUCAGCGGUCAGCACUAAAGAAAUAGUAUAUAAAGUAUGACAUUGAUGAAAGAGAGCCUUUGAUCAUGGCAUGACAGAGGUUAAUAUUGCUAACAAUCCUCCCAUCCUGUGUUUCUAUCCUCCUAUUUAUUGCUUGGAUAAUUAGCAGUUACCCAAGUUCCUCUUUCAUUUUUCUUCAUCCACUCUUACUGUCAGUUGUUACAGAGAAUCCCAGACAGAAAAUUCUGAAUAUCAGAGGAAGUUCAAUGCCCUGAAAUUGCAUAAAGCGCAGUCUGAAUUCCUCCUAUUCCUUUAACCACAGAUACCAAGUUAAAUCUCAGAGGCUCUGCAUUUUCAGAACUACCCAAUUUGAUUAGGAAUUCAGGCCCAUCUUUUUACUAGGAAGGCAGAAAUGCAUAAUCUGGUUCAAACAGCACAAGAUACUUACACCAACUGGAACAAAACACGUAGUUUUACACUUAUGAUUUAUUCAUGAGAGUUGCAGAAGAAACCUGUUACUGAAUUUUGAAAUUGACAUAGUGACUAUAAAUGCACCAGAACAUCCCUAUCAUAUUUGCAUUUGUGUAAUUCGAGGUCCAACUUAAAUGCCCAAUUAAGUGAAAAGAAAUAGCCAUAGUUCCUUGAUCAACCAUGAAAAUGCAAAGAGAAGAAGGAACAAAGAAAAGUUAAUGUGCUACUUAGGACUCACCUUAAUAUCUGUGAUAUCUCCAAUUGCAAAGAUAUUCUUGUGACCCUUGAUUCUCAAGUUCUCAUCAACUUUCAAUCUCCCAAACUAUCCAUGCCAUCCUUCAAGAUGGUUUCUUUUAGCCACGCUGAACCCACUGGUUUUCCAGUGCACAGAAAAUGGCAAUCUGCUUUAAUUGUUUCACGAGAUGAAGUUAUGUAAGCGUUGCUUCCAUCUGAACUCCUAACCAACUCAACAGAUUGCUGCAAUUUCACUUCUACGUUUUUGUUUUUCAACCAGCCUAAAGUCUUGUCAGAAGCUUUGGUCCAAUAAACUCUAGCAACCUAGGUCCAUCAUGCACCAAAACAACCUUCUUUUGGAAAAUCAACAGCAAUUUCUGCAGCAAGUUCAACUCCAGUAGGACCACCUCCGACAACCAAAAUGGAACGAGAAGCUUUAAUCUUUUCAUUUUCUGCCACCAAGAGAAAAUGCAAUUUAAAACAUGACAUCAAGGAUGUGAUACUCUGUCGGAUGGAAGAUUUUCAAGGAAAUUUUAAUUUAAAUUUAACUGUAGUUUUUUUUUUGGUCAAAAAAAAGGACCUGGUCCCACUUCAGACCCCAACUCUUAUUUGGGUUGUUGGAUUAUUUCCCAUUUUUGUUACAAGGGUCGAACUCUAGUGGAUGCCCUAACUAGAGACUACACCAUCAGGUUGGCUACCUUAGAGGGACUAAAUUUAGCUGUAGUUAUUGGACCAAAAACAUCAUGUUUGCUCUACAACCAUCACAGAUUUCUGAUAUCUCUCUGCUGCCAUGGAGCAGGAUCUAGCUUUUAUCACCAGUGACUGGAUGACUAUGAUUAAGCAAAAAUAAUAUCCUAGUGAAAAAUUAGGCCAACAUCUAAUUUAGUUGUGGAUUCUAAUUCUGUGCUUGAGUCAUUAUAAAUCCAGAAAACAACAGAUCAGAAAAUCCUUACAACUCCAAGCAUGCGUUUGCCCUGCAAAACUUUUUGUCAAGGUAAAAUGAAACAUAGCACGUUCACUCCUAGUUCACACACAAAUGUCAUCAAUAGAUAGUACAAUUUGCUUGUCUGUACCUAUACCAUUUCUAUGGACAGUAUAAUUUGCUUGUCUGUAGCUAUACCAUUUCUAUAGAAGUUUAAUCUGCGUGUCUGUUGUUCACUUGUAAAUUUCAGCAAUAGAUAGUAUAAUUUGCUGGUCUGUAGCUAUAGAUAGUAUGACUCACUUCUCUGCAGAUAGUAUAGAUAGGAGCUAUACCAAUGCAAUAAUACCUGCUUGAUACUCGGUAAGUCUCUCAUUUCUAAUCUUGGGAAGGGGAUCAUCAUGGCCAGUAGCAAUGACCAGGUAAUCGUAAGCAACAAGGCGACCCUCUGCAGUUAAGACAUCAGAAUUGGUAAUAUUGAUGGCUUUGGAAACCACAAGACGGCCAUUAGUCAGGUAAUCUUUAUGGUUGAUCACUGAUCUCUCUGCAAAUGAAGGCUCCACCAUUCCUCUUAAGCUUGCCCAUGGGAUCUCAAAGUACUCUUUCCUGUUUAUAAUAUCACAGAAGAGCAAGUUAUAUUGCAACUAUUUUAUCCUGAACAAGUAAGCGAAGCAGAAUUUAUCUCAAGCCACCAAAUAUUAACUGUGCAAGAUGAAGAAUAAAGGCAAAACAGACAAAAGUAGAUAUCAAUAAUGACUACUAAAGAAACUCAUCAUACGAGUGCCAAUUGAAGUGUCUAAAUUCCGGUAAUGAUCAGCAGAGGAAAAAAAUCAGAAUGAGAGCUUACUGAUCAAUGAGGGUGAGAUCUGCAGUGAACUGAAGAGACUUAGCAAUGAGGGAGCCAGCUACUCCACCUCCUAUCACCACCACCCUCCCCCUCCUCUUCCAAUUCCCAUGUCCCCUGCCUUCUCCAUCCAACUCUUCCUCCAACAGUAUCCCUCUUCCUUUUCUGUACUAAUAUCACAAAAACAACAUGAUGUUUAUCUAGUAAACAAGAUUUGCAAUGAAUGACAGAGAGAAGAAAUUGGGCCCAGAAAGAGCUGAUAAACGAGAAGAAACAUUUAUGUGGCAAGGAAAGUGGUUGGUGUUUACUUGGUCGACUUUAAGAAAUUUUUUAGAUAAGACUUUUGAUCGAGAUUUCUUUUAAUAAAACUACAAAUUGUGCCUUGAGAAAUACUACUAAAGAAAGACAUGUACCAACAUGUUUGUCAACUAGUGAGAAGGAUUCUAGGAAUGUUCAUCAGCUGGCGUCCCUUGAAUCAUGGGAUUGAAGAACUUGCCCAUUAAGCUCUAUUUUUUUGCUGCUUCUGUAGUUGACUUUUGCUUCUCGGGUUUAAACAAGUACUAGUUGAUACUACUAUACAUUAAUUUUUGUUCAAGUUGGCCAUGACCGUGUCAAAAGAACUUCAUGUGAAAAUACUAGGUCAACCAUCUUACUUGACUUGAUAAGAACAUUGAUUGAAAAUCAAAGGCAUCGAAUUUGAGUUUUCCUAGAGUUAAAAAAAAAAAAAAGAAAAGAAAAGUCGUCGGGUUAAUGCUUACAUCAUUUUGCUAAGCAGUGAUUUUGAAUCUGCUAGUGAGAAAUAUUGGAAGUUAGAAUGGAAAACCAAUGCAAAAAUAAAAAAGGUGAUGUUUAAGUUGUUUGCAAUUAAAUCAUGGAAAAUGUCAUUUGUAUUUUAUUUUUUGUAAUUUGCACUUUCACUAUUUGUUUUAUCAUAUAAUCUGAUAAAUGAAAAUUAUACGAUUAAAAUGAUAGAAGGAGUGUGAUUAAAUUAUACGAGAAAGGUUUUGAGGUUGUACAGAUUGUUGCCUUCUUUUUUUUUUUUUUUGCCCUUUUGGCUUUCCCUUGGUAAAGUUCCCAUAAGUUGUAUUAAUAAGUUAAAAAAAAAUUUCUAUUAAGUUUUGGGCGGGCCCUUUGUUAACCUCUUUUGAAGCCUUAGUAGAUGUCUUAACGGGGAGCGUUAAGGGAAUUGGGUGGAUCCCUUAAGCUGUGUUCUGUUUGCGCAUGAGCCCAUUUCUCAUUCUCCAAAAUGCAUCCCGCCCAUUUUGCCAAUUUGUGUUGGAUAGGCAUUAUUUGCAAAUAAUUAUGAGAAAUGUUAUUUGUACUCUCAUUUUAUUAUUCACACAUCCACUAUCAUUUUGAUCAUAUAGUUUUUAUUUAUUAGACUAUAUGAUAGAACAAAUGGAGGAAGUGCAAGUAACGAAAAAUAGAAUAUAAAUAACAUUUUCCAUAAUUAUUUGCUUGCAUCACAAACAUAUUUUUUAAUCAGUUUUUUCUGUCAUAUAUAUCAGACAUAUUUUUCAAUCAACUCGUUUUAUCUUUUCAGCUACCUUUUUUUAUUUCAUAUAUAUCACAUCAUAGAAUUAUUACAGUAAUUAUUCCAAAUAAUAGUAAAGUUAGUAACUGCAACAUUAACUGCUAGGCAACUUUGAAAUUCCUUAUUUAACUCCCAGGUCUUGCUCUUUCUCCUUUCUAAAGUUUACAGUCUCCAUCAGAACAACACAAAAUAAAUAUGUUUGUGAAAUUGCCACUUACACAAUACCAUGUCAAAGUGAAGGAGAUUAAUCGACAAUUUGCAAGCCCAUUAAGCCCAUUAAUCGACAACCUGACCAGCCUUGUUGGACAAAGCAAAGUUAGAAGUGGGCUUGCUUGUAAGCUAGCUUUGGUGUUAGUGUUGCCCAGAAGUCUAUCCAGAUCUAUAACUUUUGGACUUAAACCAUUUAAAUAUUGGGCUUUGGAUUGUUGGGUUUUUGGCUUAGUUAGGCAUAUAUUGUGUUUGAAUAGAAAACUAUUUAAAAAAUUACUUGAAAUAAUACUGUAGUACUUUUUAUAAUGUGAUAUGUGAGAUAAAACGAUAGUUGAAAAUAGAAAAAUUAUGUUUGAAAAAUAUAUUCAUGAUAUAAGCAAAAAUUUUUUAAAAAUAAGAUGAUAUCCAAACAAACCCCUGUGGUUGUUUGGCUAAGAAUUUAUUUGUCUUUUAAUCCAUCUUAAUUUAUUUGUCCAUGCAUGAGGAAGAAAAAACAAAAGAAGUGUCAUUAAUACAUAGAUUCAACAUUUGGGCAAUUACAAGGAAAAGCUAAAGGGAAAUGUGAAAGAAAAAAACCCUUUAUCACAUUAAAAUACAGCUUCAAGGUGAAGACUUUUCAGGUAGAAAAAUCAUAGGUUAUAAUGAAAUUUCACUUUAUUUUCUUCAUUAUUUUGAAGGUGGGGGCUGCGUGGACCUAAUAGGUGAGCAUAUCAAUUUCAGAGCCUUCAAGAGAUUUGAAAAACACCUAAUUCUUUAACUUACAGCAACAAAUUAUGGUAUGAAAUGGUCCACUAGGCCACCCAUAAUUAUGAAUGGUAUGUUGGUUCUGUUUAGAAAUCCAUAAGUCCAAUGAUUAUAAUUUACAACUAAGAGAACAAAAAAAAGGAGGCAUAGAAACAUUAAACUCUGAACCGUCGUGUUAGCAAUUUUAAAAUUUGUAGUUCGACUCUCAAACUCUUUCUUUUUUUCUUGUGGUUGAAAGUUUUUCCCGAAUAAUCAUAUUUUGUGACUUUUUAUGCUCAUUGCUGGUCCUACAUGGUGUUAGCCAGGUUACAAUGACAUUGAGAUCAAUUUAAGCCAUGGUGAAAUUGCAUGUCUAUUCAUUUUUAUGAUAAAAACUCGUCAAAAAGUGUUUGAUAAUUUUUUAAUGCUUUUCUGUUACUUUUUUGUUUGAAGUAUUAUUUAAUCAAAUUUUUGAAUAUAGAAAAGUUAUUUUGCCACUAAAACUUUUACCCCCCCCCCCCUCCCCCCACCCCACAAAAAACAACUUUUUUUCAAAAUAUACAUAUAAAUUUCCAGAAUUGUAAUAGUAAGCAAUGAUGAUCUUGAACAGUGCUAUUUUAAGAAUGAAGCCAAUAAACUAAACAUUCACAGUCACAUGUACUCUUGUACUUUGAGAUAAAUGCAUGUGGCCAUCUUCAAGCAAAAACGAAGAGAAGAAACAAGAAAAUUCCAAGAAACUCGAUCAUGCGGCUUUAAAUUUAUUCAAUAACCUAAGCUGGCAGGUAAAGGACCACUCUGUUUUUUUAUACUAUCAAACAAGAUUUUGUGCCGUGAAAUAAAUAGAACAUGUUCGGACCCAAAAAAAUAUUCAUAAAUAAAGCAAAAGAUUAGGUCCUCAGGAGGGUGGACUAUCUUUAAAACUCUUCUAAAAGAGGGAGUCUGAAAAUCUAUUUUGUGGCAACAAUUUGACAUUUUCUCAUGACUGGUAAUUACAAUUUCUUGAAACCUUUUCAGCGGGAAGAACUGCACUAUACCUCAUGGUAUAAUUACAGACCAAAUAUAGGACAAGACAUUGGAGAAAACCAGCAAAAAAAAAAAAAGGAAAUUGAAGGAAUUUUAAACUUAAGCCACAACAAUAUUGUAUUCCUCAAUAAUUACAAUAGAUUAAAUAACACGAUCCUUUAUUGAAAGAAUUAAGGGCUACAAACUGAAAAAUAUGUUAUCUUGGUAGAUGUGCUGAUCAGAUUUAGGGCACAAACCCUAUACAGGUUAGGAGAAAGAGAAGGCAAUGGAUAACUGAUUUUCACAUUAAUCCUGUAGAAUUUACACACUUCUUCCAGUUAAAUUCCCAUUAGAAUUUGUGGGUGGAAAUGUAUCCCACGAAAAAUGUGGUCGAUGGCCAUAGACUAGUAAUAAUGUUGAAAUGUUUGCCUUGAUGCAUGGAAAGCGUAGUGAAGCUCAUUACAGAACUGCAGAUGAUCUUUAAAAGGUUAAAAAAAAAAAAGAACUGCAGAUGAGAAAAAAAAUUAUAAAGACCUGUGAAAUAAACCAUACUUGAGAAAUUAGUUACAGUUUCAUACUUGGUUUAUCAAAUGAUGACUCCUGUGUGCAAAUGAUCUUUCAUGAUAGACUAUAUACUGUUACCAUCCAUUUGUCAAAAGUAACGUUUAUAAAGAUUUUCUGUUUCAUGCAUACAUGUUACCGUUAAUAAUCUUCUGGUUACUUUCUCAAUGUCAAGGUGUUAAGAAGUCAUAAUUUUAAUAGGACAGUUAACGAAACCAUGAUUAAGCAAUAUUGUUUUCUUAAUAAAUAUGGUUAACCCACCCCCCACCUAAUGAUACUCCUUUAUUUUUGUUUUUUUGGGGGGGGGGGGGGGGUUUACUAACUCUAGCUAGCAUCAUAAUCAGAAUCAAGAACACAUUCAAAAUGAAGAAAAGUGGUCCAUAGCCAUAGAGCUAGGGUAAACCAAAAGGUGAUUUCCCAUUUUACCUCAUUGGCAAGUGUGAUAGACAAGUGGAAGAAAGUGAAUAUUUGGGUGACAAGACAAAGAUUAAAUCAAUGGUGGAAUCAAUGCCAAAAGUAAACCAAUAAACUUGAUUCCCAAAAUAUUUAUCAUGUGAUUAAAAUUAAACUAUAUCAAUUACAUGUUCAUCCAACAGUACUUACUUGAUACUCCCAUGCUGUGCUUAAUUAUAUAUAGCUCAACAUUAAUUACAUGACCAGCUAGGCAGCAAUCCAUGUAACCAUCUUUUAUAGUAGUACUUUUCUACAAUUUUGGCUUCGCAUAAAGUACUCAAAAUCUCAGUUGAUUGUGGUCUUGAAGCCAACAGGAACACUAGUACAAACCCAUGUAGAUGUUUAUAUUUGCUGUGUAGAAUCUUCAUGUGAGCAUGAGAAUGAAGAAUUCAGAAUGAGAAUCACAGCCGACUACUGAGACAAAACUACAGUAAUUUAUCGGCCUCUUGGAGCUUGGAAUUUAGAGGCAAAUGAGAAUCCCCGACCUCCCUCCCCAUGCAGUCGGCUAUAUCAAACAAAAACAGACAAUUUGCAGUGGUAGUUUAACAUCUGCCAUUGUCAAAUGACAAUUUUACUACUAAUAGCAGCAUGAACAAUUUUUUGUCAAUUAAAGUUUACGCGGUACUGAUAUUUAAAGUGAGGAGAAUUGACAUGCAUGCUGUCCUUUUUUUGACAUGUCUAAAUCUAACGUGAUUAGUAUAUUGAGAUUUGAGGGUUAUUGCAGAUUUUAUUUUGAUACCUAAUUUUUUUUUUUUAAAAAAAAAGAGAGAGGAAAGAAUAAACAGUGGUGUGAAUAAGUAGCGUUUUGUACUCAUGAACUGAAAUAGCAAAUUUCGUGUAAUUUUCUUUAACAUUUUGCAAUCAUGAACUUGUGUAGUUCCAUAAGAAAUACUUAAUAGUCCUUGAUGGCUUUGAAGUUUCAAUACAUGAAAACUUUUUUGUUCUGAAAAACUUAUGUUUUUGGAGUUGUUUUUGAAAUACAUAUUUACUGUAACAUUUGGAAUGUGAAAAAUAAUUUUUCAAAAACAGAUCCAAAAACAAGGAAUUCAAACAGACCUUUAGUUACUUGUAAUAUCAUGUCAUACCACUGCACUGCACUUUUGUCACAUGAAAACACCUAGGGAAUAUCAGCCAUGUUAAAGGGGUCAAUGUUGUAACUUUGUAAGUACCCCUCCAAGAGCACCUUCCAUCCUAUGUAAUAUUAUUUUGUAAUUGAGGGGACUUGAAUGGCGUUCCCUUUAAUUUAUGUGUUGGCAAUUUUAUCAUGUCUUCUUUUGUGUCAGGUAGCUCCUUAGCCCCUCCUUUGACGUCUCCUUAGUAUUAUGAUUUCUUUUAUCAUGACUUAGUACCUUUGCUUAGGACAACAAGAUUGGGACUUGGGGGAACUAUUUUGCUUGCUAUCAAUCCUCUGGCUUCCUAAAGUAGGGCAAUUCUAUGGUCCCUUUAGCAGCUCACUCGCACAAGAGAAAAUCUUCCUAAGCUUUUAGAAACUCAAUGAACAUUGGGUAGAAUAUUCAUUCAGGAUUAUUUUCAGGUGAUGUAGAUAGUAUAACAUCAAGAAUUACUUCCUCAUGUAUGUUCAUUUUCACUUCAAAUUUUACAAUCACAAAAUGAAAAGCUUUAUUUAAUCCUCCUCUCUUUAAUUUACUCACAGGCACCGUUGUGGUUAUUAUUUCAUGACAAAGAAAGGACCACCAUUUUUGGUAGGGGUGAUGUGCCUUAAAUCCCCUUUAUGGGUUUUGGGAAUAAAUGUCUGCAUGGUACCACACUAUCUCUGGUAAGGGGUGAAAUAUUUCUGUGGGUUUUAAAAAAAUUGCAAUACGUUUCUCAAUCACUCUUAUAUCAUAUAAAAAAAUACCAGUAAAAGUACAGUAAAAAUUUUCAAAAACACUUCAAAAAUAAUCAUCCAAACCGAAGUAACGUUUUGAGGUCACAAGAAAAUCGCUUGCUCUUUCGUUUUUUUUUCCCAAUGAAGUGUGAAAUUUGAAGAGAUAAUUAGCAACUCCGUUUUUUUAAAUUGGAUUGGAUUGAUUACUUUUAUACAAAAUAAUCUUGAAAAACUACUACUAUUCCCAAUUAAAUAGUAUAUCAAAACACAUUUCUUUUAAAUUUGUAGUUGCAUCAAGGCCACUCAAUGGGCACGUGCAUGGGCGCAGUGCUAGCCAGGGAGCAUAAUGCAUGCAAGCACAUGGUAAUCAAAAUUAUAUGCACCCCUAAUUAAACCCCUACCCCUAUUAAUACACCCUACUACGAUCCUUCGUACAUCACAAAAUCUAAUCAUUGAGAAAUUGUACUGGAUUAGGUAGCUAAAAUAUUUUGGUCAAAACAAAAAAAAAAUUCUGUGAAAUUGGUGGUUGGGAUUAAAGUUAGUAGGACCCAUAUUUUGUGGUCAACGGUGGUGAUGAAGCUGCAUCUCACCAUCAUGAGUUGUUAAGGGGUCAUCUUUAUUUGAUGGCUAUGCGCUAGCGCGUAGAGUAUUUAAUUUUGGCUGAAAAACCAGCUGGCUGUGUCGGCGGAAGGUAUGCAGUCCCAUGAGCUCGGCAGGCUUCAUUCUUCAAUGACGUUAUGGAUAAUUUCAGAAACCUCUCCCAAUAUUUUUGAUAAUUUUAAUUAGCAUUCUUAAACUGAGAAAAAAUUACGUAUCUCCCAUAUUUUCAACUUUUUGUAACACUGUAAAUCCAUUUUUAAAUGUAUUUUUUAAAAAAAACUCCUUUUUGGAUAGAGAAUAUAUUUUCAUUCUAAUAUUCCACUUUUCUUGUGUACCUUUUUAUUUUCAUAAAAAAUCUCGUUAAUCUCUUAAACUUUUAAAAACUUGGCCGAUUUGGUUUUGUAGUUGAAAAUUAUAGGAUGUUAACAGUAUUGAAGGACCUUUUAAUAGUUUUCAUGUCAUCAGUCGGUACAAUAAACAUAAACUUUAGAAAUUCACAAACACUUUUCAGCAAAAGAAUAAUUUCUUUUUGGUAUUUAAAAGCAUCUUAAAUGAGUUUCUAAAAAUAAUAUUAAACGUGCUUUUUUUUUCUAGUUUUCAUAAAUUCUAACAAUUUGAAAAACUUCCCAAAAAUUGCACAUUCACAUAAUAAAUUAUUUAUACCUUAAACCCUAGUGUUAUAUUAUAUCCCACUAAAAUUACACAUUCACAUAAUUUGUCUAUUGAUUUCAAGCUUUUCUUAACAUAUUUUUAAUUUUGAAAAAAAAUGACAACAAAAGGUACUUUUGGAAUGACAACAUCUUCUCUAUCCAAAAAUGAGUUUUUUUAAUAAUAUAUUUGAAAUGGAUCGAUAAUGUUACAAAAGUCAAAAGUAAGGGAAACAAAUGAUAUUUUUCAAAUUUCAGUUUUACUAAGUGAAAGUAUUAAAAACCUCAAGGGAGGUUUCUAAAAUUAUCCCAUGAAGUUAAGUUGCUAAUUUCAUCAUCAAUUCUUGAUAAUUGUAUACUGUGCCACUAUAAAUUUUGGUCAAAUGACGGAAAAGUAGAAUUAAGACAAUACAAAAUGGACUUAAAUAACUCUGUCUUGAAUUCAAUUCUCCAAGAAUAUGUUUCCAAGAAUUUGUGAAAUCUACUCCACAGUUGUUAGACUAAAAUUAGACUUCGGUUAAAUUUUUUUUUUCUUGUCAAUCAUCAUCCCUACUCCUACUUCUAUUUUAUCUUAAUCUAACUACAAAAAAAUUCAACUGGAUCUAUGGGGGACCGAUGGGGACAGAAUCGCCACCGGUCGAUUAAAUGAAAUGGCUCAUUUGUACUAAUGGAUGAGUCAAAGGAGUCAAGAAUGAAUCAAAUGUUCCAUAGAAAUUGUUGAAAGUCAAGCAGUAAAACUAAUUGACUCAUUUUCAUUAGCAAAAGGUCGUAACUCAGGUGGUUGUUUGAAUUAUAGGGUCUGUUUGGAACCUGAGUUUUUUGAGAGUUUGUUUAAAACUUUACUGUAGUGCACUGUAGAAAUUUUUGAAAAAAUUUUGUAAAAGUUUUUGAAAGGUGAAAAUUUUUUUUGUAAAAGUUUUUGUAAGGUAAAAAUUUUUGUAGAAGUUUUUUUAAGGUGAAAAUUUUUCCCUUUUCUUUUUUCUUUUUCUUUCUUUCCUUUUUCUUUUUUUCCUCUCUUUCUUCUUCUUCUUCUUCCUUCCCUCUCCCGCCACCCCUCUCCUCCCUUUCCCCUUCUCCUCUCCUCUGCCUUUCCCCUCCCUUUGCAUGCCAACCCUCCCCCGCUGCCCCUUCCCUCGCUGCUCCGCCACCCCCUCCCCUUUUCCCCCUCCCCUCUGCACGCCACCCUUCCCCCGCUGCCCCGCCUUCCCCUCCCCUCUGCACGCAACCCCUUCCCUCGCUACCCCGCCACCUCCUCUGCCCUGCCAGCCCCUCCCCCACUGCCCCUUCCCCCCUCUCCCUCCCCUUGUUUCUUGGAGCGCCGACCACCACCUCUGGCGCCUCUUAGACCAGAAACGCAGGUGCACCAGAGCGCCAGCGCCCCCGACCUCCUCCGCACGCGCAUUAGCCAGCCCAGCUCCUGGUGCGCCUUCUCCACAGCGCGACCACAGCGCACUCCAGUCGUUCGACCUCCAUGCCCCUGCUUGGUUCUGUUCUUUUUUUUUUUUUUUUUUUUUUUGCUUUUCUCCUCUCCCCCCCUGAGACUGAGACACCUCCUCUUCCUCCUCCUCCUCCCCCUAUUCCACUUCCACUUCUAAUUCCAGUUCCUCCCGCCGCUGCAAUUCCUUCCAUGCCCGCCAUGGAAAUAACGGAUCCCCCCAACCCUAACUCUACUUUGGGUGAUUUGUAAAAAAAAUAAAUAAAUAAAUAAAGAAAGACAGUCGGCCCAACCCCCGACAUAAAUGACAGCGUUACUCCUCUUUCUGCAGAGGAGAGGGGGUGAGGGUGAGGGAUAGAAAAAAAUAUUUUUGAGGUGACCGGCGCCGGUACAGGUGGUGGAGGUGGUGGCUGGCAUGGUGGGUUGGAUGAGGGAGGAAAAAGAAGAAAAGUUUUUGGAAAAUUUUUUGUGUAUAGAUUUUUUAAGUGGGCAGGGAAAAAACUUUAAGAAGUUUUUUGGGGUUCCUGUAGCAAAAGUUAUUAAAAAAUUAGUAGGUAAAAAACUUGGUCAAAAAACUCACUUCCAAACAGGCCCAUAGUUUUCUACCAAAAAUAUUUUUUUAGACUUUUCGUGAACAUAUUUCUUAAUCAAAAUUUAUUUUACAUAUAUUAAAUUGUUACAAUAUAUUUUUUUCUUCAAAAACUCCAAAAAUAACAAUUCAAAUGAGUCUCAUGCAGUGAAAUUGCCGUUGUAAAUUUGUGAACCCCCUAAUAAUCGAAUAGACUGUAAUUGACAUUUCAAAACCGGUGAUAUAAAUCUAAACUUUUCUAUUUUGAAUUUUGCACAUUGAAUGCAGUAUUGACUUGUACCAUAAUAUUAAAUCUUAUAUAAAACAUGAAUUUAGAAUAAAGAGGUGCAGAUAUGACUCUUCACAUCCGAAACGUAUAUGUGAUGCACAAGCUGAUAUCAUGCAUCAGUUACAUGACAUCUUUUUGUAUUACGGAUGUUUAUAUUCAAUAACUUGAUUUAGGAACACUAUAGAUAUAAUUAAAAAGAGCAAUUUUCACCCUAACAUGUUCAAAGUCUAAAAAUUAGUUGAAUAGCAUGUUCCAAAUCGGGUUAAUUAUUAAUCUUCCUUCGUAGACAAGAUUAAUGCUCCUACCCACAACCAUUUCUAGCUAAGGGAUGCUUCUCCUCAAGAAUAUACUUUUCCCUUCUAGGAAAAUAGUAACAGCAGUGUAGUACACUAGUAUUAAAUAGCUGCAGUUACUGCACAGAAAUCAGAAAGGCAAGGAAGGAAGGAAGAGAAGAAGACAAUGGGAGUGAGUGAGAGACAGAAUUUGGUUGGAAGUUGUAACUAAACCUACCUCUCUUGCUAUCUCUCCCCAACCAUGAUUAGCCACUAAACCAUAUUAUUAUUAAUUUACUUUUUCUCUUUACACAACUUCCCAAAUUUAAAAAAUUAGUGCUUUCUUUUUUCCAAUUAAAAUAGUGCAAAUGAUGUCCCGUCUCACUUGCACUUUCACAAAAAAUUUGGAAAGAGCACCUGUAGGAACUGUUUGUUUAGAUCAGAAAACAGACCUUAAACAGCCAACAACAGCCCAAGAAGGAGAGAAACAAGCACUUCACGUACACAGACAGACACUAGUUUGUAUAGCAUUCAUAGAAGUGAAAAGCCCAGAAAGCAUUUUCGGUGUUGAGUAGAUAAUCAGGCUUGGUAAUGCAUUUUCCCAGGUGGGUUCUUUUUGGUUUGUUUGAAUUUGAUGUUGAAAUGGGUCAAAGAAGGUGGAAAAGAUCCAAGGAUUUUAUCUUUUUGUAGUGUUUAUUGGGUUUCUUGAGUGUGUAAAUUUGGGGUGUUUUUAGUUGGAGAAAGAUUGUUUUUUGAGUGGAUUUGGGAGGUUUGAGAAUGGAGUCAAGAAUGGAUCAGUAUGAGAUCAUGGAGCAGAUUGGCAGAGGGGCUUUUGGAGCAGCCAUUUUAGUCAAUCAUAAGCUGGAGAGAAAGAGGUAGGUGCAAUGUGGUUGUUGUCAAUUUAUUUCUAUAUAUUCUGUCAUGUAGAUUGAUUUUUGGAGUAUCUGUUCAGAAUCUUUUGUUGGAUUGUGUCGAUAUUCAUUUUAGGUAUGUAUUGAAGAAGAUUCGAUUAGCUCGACAAACUGAGCGUUGCAGAAGAUCUGCUCAUCAAGAGGUACACUUCUUGGUGUGAGGGGGGAGGGGGGGGGUGUGAAGAGAAAUGAAAAUGAUUGAAUUUUUUUUUUUUUGGCGAAACAAUUGAUUAUUGCAAUUUGGUUGAAUUUGGAACGCUCUUCGCGUAUUUAUUUCCGUUUGCUCCAAACUUUUAAGUUUUGCGCCCUCUCUAGUUGCGUGUAUCUGCUGGUUAAUAUGUGGUUAAGGUGAGGUGAAAUUGAUAAUCGACAUUUUGCCAAUUUGGACAUGCAGAUGGCUUUAAUUUCUAGAAUUCAGCACCCAUAUAUUGUUGAAUUCAAGGAGGCAUGGGUGGAGAAGGUGAGAUGAAUCAUAAAAUCUAUACUUGGUCAUUGGUUAUUGUUGCUAGUACUUUAUCAGCUGUUUUUGAUGCAAUGUUUGUUCAUAAUGUAGGGUUGUUAUGUUUGCAUAGUUACUGGCUACUGUGAAGGUGGUGACAUGUAAGUUUUAUACUGAAAAUGAAUCCUAUAUCGGUUUUAGUGUUCACGUCAUUUCUGAUAUUGACAGUUAAAUUCUCUUUAUGCAUACCUCUUUAUCAGGGCUGAACUCAUGAAGAAAUCAAAUGGGCAAUACUUCCCGGAAGAGGUAUUCCUUUCACUUUUUUAGUUGGGAAAAUGAUUUUUGUUGAAUCACAACACAUAAAGGGGUGGUGCUUUAUUGAGUUAUGUGCAACAUAUUUCAAUAUUCUUUAAGAAGAUAAGUUUUAACUUAGAAUUUCAGUAACUUUGAGAUAUGCUUGGUAAUUAUAUCUAUGUUAUCUGACUACUUCUGACAAUGUGGAUCAUGCAGAAACUAUUGAAGUGGUUUACUCAACUACUGUUGGCAGUGGAAUAUCUGCACUCCAACUUUGUUCUGCAUCGAGACCUUAAAGUAUAUACCCCAGUACCAGUUGAAAUUUUGGGCUUUUAGGAAUUUAUGUUGAGAUUAUGACUUAUUUCUGCACCUCUUCUUGCAGUGCUCUAACAUUUUUCUCACAAAAGAUCAAGAUGUUCGUCUUGGUGAGUUCAGCUUUGUCAAUUGAAUAUUGAAUGACAUGCUCAAUUUGUAUAAACCUUUAUACUGAUUUUUAUAUUGGAAACUGUCAUUCUUGUCCAGGGGAUUUUGGACUUGCUAAAACUUUGAAGGCUGAUGACUUGGCUUCUUCAGUAUGUAUCUCUCUUUGUAUCUAUUGAUUGUGUUUUUAGGAAUCAACCUUUUUUUACUAUCAUGUUUAGGAUACCUGCUAUAAUUUGAAGAGACAAAUAAUGCACUUUUCUACAAGGAUUUUCCUUUCAAGAGAAAUGAUCUAAGUAUCGUUUUACUUUAGUUGUCUUACAAUGAGUUCUUGGUUAAACUUAAAUGACUUAUGAGCAUGUAGCAGGGAUUUGGUUAGAGAAUUUCAGCCUUGGCUCAUUGUGGCUAAUCUGAAUUCAUCUGGCACUUUCUAAUGAAUUAAGCUAUAACUGCUAUAUUUCAACUGCUUUCUCUGUGAUUAAGUGUCAAAGAUGUUUUACCAAUUGCAUGUUUCUUUCUACCCAGGUAGUUGGGACUCCCAAUUACAUGUGCCCUGAACUUCUUGCUGAUAUUCCAUAUGGUUUCAAAUCCGCGAUAUUUGGUCGCUAGGUUGGUACAUAAUUUUGCUCUAUCUUUCUCCUUGCAAUGUAGCAUUUGUAUUUAACUCAAUGCAAAAAGCUAUGUAUUUCUUCCUGUGACUUGUUAUUAGAUGCAAUUAUCAUCAAAAAUUCUGACACUAGUGGCGUUAUUAGUACUGCUCUUUUUAUUGGUGACUUGAUUGGUAAUCAAGCACUAGAGUCGAAGAAAUGAAGCAUAUACUUUCUCCUUGCCAUUUGAGUUUCACUUUCUAUGUAUAUUAUGAAAAGCAUAUUAUCACAUAUAGAGAUGUGCAUGGUUAUAGAUUUUCCAAAUUUGCUUUACUUCCCAAUGGAGUGGAUUGAAUUAGACAGAACUAGUCAAGUUAAUUUUUUGGUUUACUUUUGAGUAAGUCUUAGCAUUUUCGCUAGUUCUUUAAGGUAUUCAGUCGAGGAGAUGGUUAUUCACUUGAGGCAAAAAGAAAAAUAUCUAAGGCUUUUAUAUUUAUUUUAUUUUUACAUAGUUUGAGUUAUUCUGGAAAGAAAUAGUAACAUCUUUUGUUGGAUUCACAAUAUGUGUACCCGAGUUUUGAAGUUUUACUUGGUUCUGAGUUUUUCAAUUAGUAUUUGGCUAACUUUUGUCAACUCUGAACAUUUACUUUGUUAAGUAGCUGUCAUCAGACUCGACAUCUAGCAUGUACUUCUUGUUAUCUCUUUCUACAAAAUUUUUUCCUCUCUUUUUAGUCUUGAAAUUGUUAUUGUUCUUUUUGGAACAGGUUGUUGUAUGUAUGAAAUGGCUGCUCACCGGCCUGCAUUUAAAGCUUUUGUAAGACAUCCAGCCUUCUUUUACUGAUAAUCCUCUUUAUUUAUUUUUUUAUUUUUUUAAAAGCAUUUCUUUUUGCAGUUCAAUCCUGCCAUUGAUCAAUCUACUGCGAAUUACAGUUGGAUCAUAAUAGCGACUAAUUAUGAAUUAAUAGUUCUGAAUCUUAUUGGAUGAUGGAGGGAUGGAAUAGAAAAUUCUACUAGUAGAAAUAACAUUUGAUCUUGCAUAAAACCAAUGAUAUACAGCUUUUCUUAGGUGUCCAUGCAGCAUCUUGUUUUUUGUUACAAUCAGGUGAACUGGUUUUUGGAUCCUAUAGUGCUUAAUCAAUAUUAAGGUGAUAAGUACUCCAUAUUAAUGGCAUAAUCCUGCAUCUGCCGUCUUAUGUAACUCUAAAAGCUUGAAUCUUCUUUCCUGAAUAGAUUUCUGACCUCCAUUUCCAAAAUAAUCUUUUGUUCAUUGCUAUCUUUAUUGCUUCCUCUGAUUGUUGCUGCCACUUUCCUUCCCAUUCUUUUUCCACAACCUUCCUGCCGACUCUUCUGGUCUUCUACUAUUCCACUGCUUCAACCCUCUCCAGUUGCCACUCUUAGUUUGACCAUUCUCUGCCUUCUCACCACUCCCAAGAAGAUUCUCUUCACAUCUGCCAGCUGUGAUCAAUGGAGCUACCCAAUGUUGCAGGGGAUGAUUACUACCUGUGGAACUGGUUUCAACUUCAAUAACUCUCACAUUAAGCCAGUAGGAUCAACUUGUGAAGACUUAAACCUGCUGUAGGUUAUUUCUGCCAUAGCAUCUGUUACUUUGAAGUCCCAAUUCAGUUAGAUUUCUUAAAAUAGUCAGAAGUUGUUCCAUGGAAUCAGAAUCCUGAUGUAGAUGGGUCGCAACGUCUUGAAUCCUCUGACCAGAUGGAAGCUCCAUAUUACCAUAGUAAAGCUGUAGUAACUCUUAUCUUAUCUGAAUUUGUGAUUUGAUGGUAUUGAAACAAAGGUGCCCCAGCCUUUUGGUCAUGUUCUCCUCAUUUAAACUGGCGAAGGCAACCCGCCCUGAAUACGAUAAGAACAAUGAGCUGAAGAUAUGCAACCCCAAAUAUGGUUAAAAUGUCCUGAGCCAUUUCGUAUAAAGUUCAAGAACCUAGGGUCCAUAUCAUGAUCAAUCAAAAAUGCUUCCUUCUAGACAGCUUAACUCCAUCAAGCCUGUAGAGUAGUAGUGAAGAAGUAGACUAGAAAUCACCUUUUUUGGUUGUUGACCAAGGAAAAGCAUGGGACUUGUUGGGCUGGCGCUGUUUUUCUUAUCUUAUGAUAUUUUGAAAUAGGUUCUCAAAAGCCCAAUUCCGAUGGUUAUGGUUACAGCAACAGUUAACCUUCUGGGUCUUGACUAGGAAACUGGCUCCACGAAGAUGCUUCUUUGGUGUUCUUCCAGCAGAUGAAAAUAAGAACCAACUAGCCAACCAGAAAAAAUGGCUUCCGUAUGUGCAGUGAGCAGGACAUUUUUUGUUUUAAACAGAUGCAGGUCUGUCUUUAUACCAAUGUAGAGGUUUGUAUGAAGUCUUAUGCACCACAAAGACUUAAGCUUCUGCAGAUGUAGUGGAUUUCUGUUUUCUUCUUCACUGGAAAAAAAAUUGUUGAACUUUAUUGCUGUUGCCAUGGGAUGAAGGUUGUGCAGGAUAGGAAAUGGUGGUCUGAUGUUGCGAAUGUCCUUUGUAGCGUAACCAGACAUUAGCGAUAUUGGGUAGAUCUUUGUCAAUUUGGUGCCAACCACAGAUUAUUUGAAAGUUGGACAUUACCUCAUUCUAUUGUACAAAGCUUGGGGAGGUCAUACUAAACUGAGACACUUUGGUGACUUCCUUUAGUUCCUCGUUGAUGUAUUUGUCACUCUCUGUUAUCCAAUCCGUCAAUAAAAUGAGCUUCUUGUGUGAUAAUAGCCCUAGAACUAUUAUCCAAUUAAUUCAAUUGAAACCUUUUCAGCGGUUAUGUAUUGGCUGGUUCAUGUGAAACUUUGCAUACCAGAGUUUUUCUCAUUGAAAGUUGCCAUAUCCUUUUGUACUUGGACUGUGCUAAUUGACUGCUACAUGAAACUUCAACUGUUCAUUUGCUAUUUAUUGUAAUCUUAUCAACCAUUUCUCUGUUUGACGAGGUCAUCAACGAUUCCUUUGCCCAGAUGUUUUAAGAUGUUAACACUCCUUAUAGGAUCAGCCUAAAUUUAAAUUUCAUUGUAUCAUUUUCUUCUUAAUUUAUGAGACUUUUGGAAGAUAAAGGAUGUACUUUUAAAAGAGGACUUUUGCUGUCUGCAUUUUGUUCUUUCUUCUUGUCUUUUAAGUAAGUAAACUGGCUUUUUGUGCCGCUUUCCUACUGGACAUAACUUAAGAAUUAAUAACUCGACGUUAGCGCAAAAAAUUGCAAUUUCCUCAUUUUAAUGCUUUUUCUGUGUGCAUGGAUUCCUUGUUGAUCUUUUUCUGGCAUGAUGCUGUGUUUCAGGACAUGGCUGGAUUGAUUAGUAAGAUCAACAGAUCAUCAAUAGGUCCUUUGCCUUCUUGUUACUCUCCAUCCUUGUAAGUUGGCUUCUGCUGUUUACUCAAAUAUCAAUAUUGUUGUGAACAUCUUAAAACCCAUACUCCUUAAUGAAUCACUUAGUCAUUUAUCUAUAUUGGAAUCCCCUCAGCAUAUGUGGGCAUGUGACCGAGCAGUCAUGCAGUCACUUAUGUAUAGUUGCAUACAUUUUUCAUAUUCAUUGAUAUUUGUUACGCUUUGUUUGCUUUUAUGAGCAAGUAUUUGCACGUCCAGGUCCCUGGGUGGUUUUCCUAGGAAGCUAUUACAUUCAUUGUCUAGUAUAUUGUUUGUGGAUGCAAGUUGAUGUUUGUUCAUAAUUGCUCUACUCUUGAUGUAAAUAAAUUCCUGAACAGCCCGUGAUGUCUGAACAGCAUCACAGUUUGUUUUUGUCUGAACAGUAUGAACUGGAAAGAGCUUUUCUGUGUCACAGUUCUCUGUAGAUGAGAUGAUAUUUUCAUCUUCUCAGCUUCCCUGAAAAUUUUAUCUCAAUCUUAUUUUUAUUUGGUGUAUUAUGUUGCAUUGUGUUGCAAUACUUGCUCAUGCCUUGUUUCACAGAGAAUAACAUUUCCUGUUUACUUCUCAGGAAAACACUUAUCAAGGGCAUGCUAAGAAAGAAUCCUGAACAUCGGCCAAGUGUAAUCUUCUAUAGAAGACAAUUUUGAUAUGCAGUUUUCAUCAGGAUGUAAUAACAACUACAUGAUCACAAUAUUUUGCAGGCAUCUGAAAUCCUAAAGCACCCUUAUCUACAGGCAUAUGUUGACCAAUAUCGCGUAUCCUUCACACAUGCUCCUGCCAACCAUCCUGAGAAGCUUCUUACCACUCGAGAUUCUCGGAAGAAUAUGGCUGAAAGCCAAAGUAGUAACAGCUCAUGCAGUGAUAGAGAUAGUUUGCUGUCAACUGAAAGAAAUGUUCAGGCCGUGGUGUACAACUGUGAAAAAGGAACCAGUGAUGCAGACUUGGCUUCUGUUGAUGAUGAUUCUUCUUCUGGGCUGCUUCAUCCAGGUGAUGAACCACAUGGAUCCGACAUAUGCACCACGAAUGUUGAGGAUGCUGAGAUGAUUAAACCCUUCCCUGAUGAGCAGAGAUAUAAUUCUGAAGUCAAGCAGCCAAGGAUGAUAAGAAACAUCAUGAUGGCUCUUAAAGAAGGAAAAGCCAGAGAAAACAGUUCUCCCAUGAGAAACCGAACAAAGGUUGGUGGCAUAUGUACACAGAAAACUAAUAUUGAAGCACCUCCCAAAAUCCCCAGACCUAGUUCAGUUACACCAGGUUUAAAAGGAAACACAGAUAUGCCAUCUCCUGUCACAGCUAAGGCUGGCUCUGAAUCUGUCAAACGGCCUGCGAUGCAAUCUUUGAAGCAUCAGGUACUAGCUGUAUCUUGCAUUACAAUUGGUAUCAGCAUACCUUGUUAUUCGUAUUAAUGACAUUUCUCUGCAGUUACCUGUUUCUGAUUCCACCCCUAAGACUAGACCAAGACAUGAGAUGAUCCCUCCUCUUCCUGUAAAGAAUAUUCCUGAAGAUGGAUUUCCUCUGAGGCCAAGACAAAAAACUCCUCCAAAUCUAGUGAGACGGUCAUCAUGCCCUGGAAGGAUGAAAAAUGUUGGACUUGAUGCUCCUGUUCCUGCAAGUAAUAAGAUUGUUCCAUCUGAGACUGCUGAUGAUCCCGAGAGGAGUCCUGAUUCAGGGCCUAAUGGCUGCAUGACAUGUGUUUCUAGGGGAACUUUGCAGCAAACUCACAAGGCAUCUAAAGGAGCUCCUACGGAGAGCAGCAAUUCUGCAUCCUCUUCUGUGUCAAUCCAAGCAUUCGAGAUUUGUGAUGAUGCGACAACUCCAUUCAUUAAUUUAGCAGCGCAGAUAUUUUGGAAUCAGGAGCACACGACUGAGACUGGAAGUUUAGAAUCACGGCCAAGCUGUUCAGUCGGUUCCUCGUACUCUGACAUGCCUGAAAAUUCUUCUAGAGAGAAUCAUGGGUUUGAAAACAAACCUGUAGCGUGCUUAGUAGAAACGCCAAAGCAGCAUGUCAGACACAAAUCUGAAGCGUGCUUAGUGGAAACACCAAAGGAGCAUGUCGGACAUCAAAGCAUGGAUAAUGCUGCUAAUAACAGCAAACUGAUUUCAACUGGAGAUUUGGAGAUUCCGUUUCGGCAUUCUGAAGAGCUGCUUCCUUCUAAAGAUGAAGCCUCAGUUAAGAGGUCAAGUGAUAGGCCUGAUGUUUCAACUCCAGCAAUCCACCCAUCUGCAUCCGGUGGUGAUGACAAGUUCAUGGUAAAGGAACUCCAACUUUCAGUACCUGAGAGCACUACUCUAGGUAUCUAUCCUGUGCCAUCCAGCCAAAAAAAUUUGCUGUCAGAUAUGGGAACGAUUCAGCAAAAUGUCAUUAUCGAAAAACCAACUGGUAAUCAUCUUCCACCAGCUUUCGAUGAUGUGAUUCACGUCAUUCGGCAUAGCAGCUUCCGAGUUGGAAGUGAUCAACCAGUGAUUGAUACAGUGGAUAGAAACUUAGAUGUGGGGAAGCUAAUAAAUGUGGUGACAGAUGAUGUUGAUAUUAAAAACCUAGCCACUACACCAAAAUCUCCUGGUUGCUCUGAGGCUCUGAGUUUAAAGUCAAACCUCUCAGAUAAUGCAAACGCCAAAGAAGUGGACGUGAAAGCUCCGACCAAUCACUUCACUCCAGCUCCAAAGUUAGAUUCUUCAGAACCAGCAAUAAUGAAUUCUCCUGUAGCACAGGAGGAAGGCCCAACAACACCAGCAAAGGAAACUUUGGAUGUCAAAUCUUUCCGGCAGAGGGCAGAGGCACUAGAAGGGCUCCUAGAAUUGUCUGCAGAUUUGCUUCAGCAUAAUAGACUAGAAGAGCUUGCUGUUGUUCUAAAACCUUUCGGAAAAGAUAAGGUUUCUCCAAGGGAGACAGCAAUCUGGUUAGCUAAGAGUCUCAAAGGGAUGAUGCUUGAAGACUCAGGACGGAUGUCGUGAACAAUUAGCCAAAACCCUGCUGGUAGGAGCUUUUUUUUUUUUUUUUUUUAUAAUUCCUUGCAUGUUCAUCGGGCUCCACGGAUUUGGCAUUCUCCAAGUUCCACUAAAAGUUUUCUACAUAGAUUUAAUACAUGUUUUCAUCUUCUUUUUACUUGGAAUUCUUUCAGUGCGAUAUUUUGUACAUAAUGGCAACAAUAUAAACCCAAUAAUUUUUUGUUCCAGAAAAUUGUAAGGAUAUCUUUUGGAACAUCAUAUUGUUAUCCUGUUAGCGAGAUUAGAAGUACUGUUCCUUCUUGUAUCACCCGAAGGGAUAUUCUCAGAAGAAAUCUUGAGAAUGCUUUGUGCAGAUGUUCUGUUACAUCCAUUCUCAUUUGCACGCGCAGGCUAAUAUCUCCCUCCAUUUGCUUUCAGCUAAAUCUGUGCAAAUCUUUUCCUUGGGCAGACUUCCAUGUUGUUGCAGUGUUUUAGAGGUCACUGUGUUGGUUGGUACCGUACAUAAGCCAAUGCAGUUGAGAAGACAAAAUUUGCCUUCUUGGACAAUUUACAAGUGUCAUUCAUAAGAUAUACAGGGUUGGUUUGGAUUAUAAGAUAUACAGGGUUGGUUUGGAUUAUAAGUUAUUUGAGAUAUUUUUACUGUAGCACUUUUUAUGACGUGAUGUAUGUGAGAUAAAAAGAUAAUUGAGAAGAUAAAAAAGUGUAUUGAAAAUUAUAAUGAUGAUGUAAAUAAAUAAAAUUGAAGAAAUAUUGCUCAAUCCAAACAAAGUGACAAUUUGACAUGUCAAUAGAUGUUUGAAUGGCUCAGGGUCAUAGGCCUCCAUUCUCUGCAUGCCACGAUAUCCUUGGAAAAGUUUCAAAUUUGCACGUGUUUGAGUGUUGACUUCGUCUUUCCCAAUUGACAACCGAACGAGGGUAAUUAUUGAUCUUUGGACACUUGAGUACUAGGCAGGUCUGCAAGCAUCCGCGUAUGUCCUUUGCGGCUCUGUUGAUUGAUUCAAUAGUCCACAUGGAAUCGACGAAAGGUCAAUCGCCCACACAGACUGCUGCAAAAAAUCGACGCAAGUCUUCACCAAACCUAUCUGCAGUCUGGUAGAUGAAAGGCUUUGGGGUUUUAUUUGAAGUACACAAUGCUAUGCAAUGUGUAACACUAAAUUUACAUAGUUAAUCAUCAAAUCUACCUACCGUGUGUGGUUGAUGAAAGUUGAGUUUUUUUAUUACACAAUUAGUUUUUCCUUUUUGUUGUAGAAAGGUCGAAUUUUUGUUCAUUUAGUUUAUGGGAUAGGGACACUGAUGAAGAACCGCCAAAGACUCAAGUCUUCACUUCAAGAAGCGCAAAUGAGGAUGCUCUAUGUGCACUAGGGGUAUCAACAAAUCAAGCUCGAUCAAAUGAUCGGUUCGAGUUCGGUCAAAUCGAGCUCAAGUCGAUCUUAAACUAUUUGAAUAUUUCAAUGAAUUGAAUUUGAAGCUAGAAAUGUUAUGCUCGAUAAACUCGCGAGCUUUUCGAGUUUAGGUAUAUUUAAAUAUAUAUAAUUUUAUAUUUAUAAAAUUACUUAGGGCCUGUUUGGAACCUUAAGUUUUUUGCAAGUUUGCAUGCUACUAGUUUUUUAACAACUUUUGCUACAGGAACUCCAAAAAACUUUUCAAAAUUUUUUACUUAUACACUUCAAAAUACUCAAAACACAUAAACAAAAUUUUUUUUCUUCCUUUUUUCUUCUUCUUCCUCCCUUAUCCCAACCCACUACCACCUCCAGCGCCGGUUCUAAUGCCGAUCACCUCUUUCGGUAUCGGAGUAUAGAUUUUUUUUUUCCUUUCUCCCUCUACCCCUCUUCGUCCCCCUUUACCCAAUUUGAUCCUCUCCUUUUUUUUUUUCUCCCUCGCCCUUUCCCCCACUCCUCCCCCACCACUCUUCCCCUUCGCCUCUGGCCGAUCUGGUAGCUAGGCCAGAUCGCACCAGAUUGCAUUGAAGUUAGUUUUAGUUCGUUCUAGUUUUUAUCCAGUUCAACGUGAAGCACCUUAAGUUCUAAUGGAUACUUGAUCCAUAUUAUUAACUUUCUUUGGAUUUUAAACUAUUAAUCAAUAAAGACAUAAUCUCCUCAUCUCCAUUCCCAUUUUUCCAGCAAAAAAGAUAAAAGUAAGUUUAUUUCAAAUUCAUAUUAUUGACACAAAAUUAGUUUAUUACUUAUUGUUAUUCUUAUUAUUAUUAUUAUUUUGCAGAAAUUGAAGGCAGCAAAAGAGAUUCUACUUCCCAUAAAAUGAAUGUGAUAAUUGGAAAGGUACAUAGUUUGUGUUUAACACUCCGAUUCCUCUUCAAAUAUCCUGUUUUAGAUUUUACCACUACUAUUUUAUUACUUAAAUUAUUAUUUUUUUUUGGUGAUAGGGCUUGCAAUUGAAAUUGGAAAGUUGGAAAGGACAAGAAGCUGCUGUUUUACUGCUUUAAUUGCAAAAUUUGUUUCACUUUUUUAAGUAUGAUUAUUUCUUGACAAUUGACAUUGUCUGUUGAAGACAUUCACUUGAAUGUUGAGUUGUUGACACUUUUUGUUUUUUUCUAUUUGUGUGACUUGGUGGAUGUUGGUUGUCUGACUUAUCUUUGAAUUUGGAUGCUGGUUUUGAUGUUAAAAUACAUAUGGAUGAAUUUGGAUAUCGGUUGGCAACAUGGCAUAAUGGCUGCAAAAUUUUUGACAGUUUGAUGCUUUGGCUUUAAAUUGAUAUUUAAAGCUGGCUUGUCUUAGAUUCUGAAUCAUAUGGAUGAGUUUGGACUUUGGACAGUGUUGUUCAGUAAUGUAUAGCAGAGCUUGUAUCUUCCAUUUUCAAGAUUGUAUCAAGUCUAUCCAUCUUUGUGAUGCAUAUGCACUUUGUCUUGAUGUAACUUUGCACAUAAAUUGAGAUUUAUACUUGAAGUUUUUGCAUUUGCAUUAGCUUGUCAUUUCCCCGGCAAAAUUUGUUAGGAAAUGUCACUGCCAAAGUGAUUUGGUUCAGAUAAAAGGCUGAAUGAAAGCAAAUUCUGCUUAGUCUAAGGAUAGUAGAUUGUUUCAGGCAGGCUUUAAAUGAGCACAAUUUUUUCGAGCUCGAGUUCUUGCUCGACUGCAAUUCGAGCAGUUUCGAACACGAGCUCGAACCUCAUGAAUUUCUUACGAAUCGAAUUCGAGUAUGUAAAACUAAUAUUCGUCGAUCUCGAGCCUUAAGCACUUUGUCAAAACUCGAACUCGAUCAAACUAGUAUUCGAGCUCGAUUCGAUUCGUUGACAUCCCUUGGGCCGAUGACUAGAGCAAGGGCAAGGAAGAUGUGAGAGACCCUCUAAACAUUCCUACAAAUCGUUCAUACAUGCAUAGGGAGGAUCCAGAGCCUAAUCACACGAUGGUGAGCCUAUUGCAAGCCCAAGAGAAGGCCACGGAUGACUAGGGAGAGGGCGGGCUGCAUUAUGGGCUUCACUAUUGAACUAAGUGUCUAGCGUAGACUUGAGAAUAAGGUUGGGCAGCCAUGUUGGCUUGGCUGACCAGCCCUUACCCAUUUAGGGCAAAUUAGCACUUUCCAAAUUCGUUUAUUUCCUUAGUAAGUUAGGUUUAGUUUUUGGAGUUAAUAUCGUUUUCCAUUACUAGUAGGGUUUCGGGACAUGAAGCCUAUAAAUACAAGGCUUGGCCGAGCUUGUCAUUUAUUCACUAAUCAAGAACAAUUUUCAAUUUUAAGAGUAUUCUCUUAGUUUCGGUUAACUUUGAAUAUCUUAGAUUUUGUUCUAAGCAAGAAUCACACUUGCUCGUGGCGCCGUUCUACCAAUAACCAUAAGUUCCUUUAAUCUUUUCUUGAGGGUUAAUAUUCAAUCUUAGUUCUCAUCCAAGGGAUUCUAAGGGGCUUUAGGGUUCCGCACAAUCAAAUAUUGGAGUUGCUUAUCUAGAUCCUGCUUGUUGGAAUACGAGUUCCUCCAAACACGGUUGGAUUUGUAUCAGACACGCUAGACAUGUUAAUCGUGAUUCACUUUUUGUUAAUUGCAGUUCCACUAUUUGUAUUAUCAUAUAGUUUAAUAAAUAAAAAUCAUGUGAUAAAAAUGAUAAUAGGAGUGCGAUUAACAAAAAGAGGAGUGUGAUCAAACAUUUCUCUAGUUUAAAACACUUGUGUUACUUGUUCAAUACAUCGUGUAACACUAAGUUUGAUAUUAAUUGUUUAGUAAAUCAUGAAGGAUGCGAAUUGUGUAUAACCUUUUAAAUAUAUGAUCAUUCAUCAUAAAUAAAUUGUUACAAUUUGUAAAAGUGAUGUAAAUCAUGUAUUGGACUGCAAACGAAUUGAAUUGCUCACCAGUAGUUUGAGUCUAAACUCGACUCUAGCUCGAUCAAUAUCGAGGUUGAGUUGACCAAGUCGAACUUGAGUUCAAAUUCGAAUUCAAACAUAUUCACCUCUUUAACUUAGAAGUUGACUCGAUUAUAUAUAUAUAUAUAUAUAUUAUUUUUUAUUUUAAUAAUAAAAUUACACAUAUAUUCCUAAUAUUUUAUUAUUUAUUAAGAAAAAUUAUUAUUUUUUCAUUUUUUAAAAAUAAAAUAAUUAUUUUUUAAAACUUUUUUAAGCUCGAGCUUGGGUUUGACUUGAAUAUUCGUCGAGUUCAAGUUCGAAUUUUAUAUUUUGAGUUUGUCGAAUUCUAGUUCGAAUUCAAACUUUAUAAAAUUAAAUUGAGAUUCAAUUCGAUUAGGCCAAAAUUUGAUUCGAUUCGAUUCGUUUGCACUUUUAAUAUUAAUUACCGGUACAUGUUAAUUAUGUUAAAAUUAUAUACCAUGACUUUACAAUUGAAUUUUGUAUUUGCUGCCAAUCGAUCUUACAACUAUUAUUGUCCCAUUUUCCAGAUUUUUUGUUGUAAUUAGAAGUUUGAGUGGAUUUCGAUCACUAAUACGAAUCAGGGCAUGUACCCAAAAUCAUAAGUUAUUUACGAGAAUUCUUAUAAAUCACGCAUGAACACAAUCUCAAGUGAUAGCACAAUUAGAACACACACCCAGUGUGUGUUGCCCGCACGUCCCAUUCCCCUGACGCAGGGAACCUCGGACGAAGUUCCUACCAUAACGUCGUGCAGAUGUCUUCCCUGACUUGGGAUGUGACAUGGAAUAUGACGUCAAGGGCGACAGCAGCCUUUUAGACCGCGUAAUUCAGAAAAGGGUCCAAACUAAGUCAAUUAACAUAAGAAUGAAAAAGGUUGGAUUGAUUCAUUUGGCCUUUUCGUUAAUUGAAAAAAAAUUACAGAAUAUAGAUUGUUGAAUUUUCUAGGAGCCCUAAUUAAUUUUAGGUUGUCUUUUUUCUCUUUCCCAAGUAAACCUACUAAUAAAACCAUGUUCCAUAAUUCUUACACAUUUACAUAUCGGUGAUAAGGCCUAAAAAAACAUAUCUGUGAUAAGGCCUAAAAAAAAAUAUCGGUGGUAAGUAGUAUUAAUUUAUUGAUUUUUCAUAAUUUUGUAUUAAAUAUAAGUAGGUUUCCAAUUGUAUUUCUUACUCAUUUUUUAACCUCCAAAAUUUUGCAUGUUUUGGCAGUCGAAAAUCAUGGUGUACAAAUUUUAAAUGAUUUUAUCCACCCAAAUUCCUUUUUUUUUUUUUAGCAUAACUUUCAAUAAUGAGAUUUAUGCUUUGAAUCUCCAAUAAAAUUAAGCACAGACAGUAGUUUGCCAACAUUUUCUACUCGAACACAUAUACAUAAAAAAAUGAAAUUUCACUUACCCAUCCCUUAACCUAGAAAUUUUGUUUAAAACAUCCUCACAUUUCGUUUAAUGAACUUUUUUUUAUCAUUUACUCUAAAAUGUUAAUUUCUACCCUCUACAAAUUCAAAUAUGUAAAAUUUAGUUACAAUCUAGAUUUUCGACUACUUUUUACCGUGAAUCUAUUACGUAACCCACACGUGAUCACUUUUUAUAGCAAUAAAAAUGUUAGAUUCUAUUGUAAUUAAACAAAUGAUUUGAUUCAUAUUAAUUUUUAUCCUUAAAAAUGUAAGAUGUGACUCGAAACAUAUUUAUUUUUUCCUAAAAGAUGGAGAUCUGAUUCAUUUUUUCUGUAUUUAAACAUUUUACCAAAAUUACUGUUAAUUUUGUUGUGUCUCUGACAACUCCACAUCACAUAUGAAGACUGUGCAACCGACCAUCCAUGCUAAAGUGUGGAAAAGAUAGGUCCCAUGCAGGGUGCCCUUUAAUGUCAGCAUUAACCACAAUAGAAACAGAAGCAUGUAUACACGGAUAACUUUUGCCUACAGUUCAAUGGAUCUUGCCAUGUCAAGAAAAAUUGACCAUCGUUUUCAUGGCAUUUCAUCAUUCUAAUCAACAAAAGCCACCACAGGAAGUUUCACAGGAAUCUUAAUCCACUCGGUGUACUUUAGCAGAUACAGACACACAAACACACACACACACACACACACAAACAUAUAUAUACAUGUCUCCAACAUUCUUGAAAUCAUUCACCUGAUGUCUUUCACUCCCUUCUCUAACAAUCACACAGAAAAAUACUAUCUCAAAUCCUUAUUUCGAUAUGAUCUCAUACAAUCAAAUUAUUCACGUAAUUGUCAGAGGUACAAAUCUUUAGUAACAGUCCUUCAGGUCAUUCGUGUUACAUUUUUUUUUAUAUACCAUCUCUUAGUGAUACAAUAUUUCUCAUAUGAACUAUGGCAUCCAUUGAUCUUGAAGCUGCACGAAUACGAACUUCGACUCUGCAUUUCACACCACAUUCAUCAACUUCUUCUGGGCUUAACAAGGCAAGGCCGUUACUACGUUGCAUGAUAUGGGCACUAAUUUUGCUCGUAAUAGCAAUUAGUGCAUGCACCUUCGCUGUGUGGUACGUUCUUCGUCCAAGAGUACCAAUUAUCCACAUUAACUCGUUCGAUAUAUCGAAUUCCACUCAAUAUAAGAUGGGAUUCACGGUCAAAAACCGCAACUUGUUAACGAGUUUGUGGUUUUGCACUUUGAAUAUGUCCUUGUUUUACAAUGGUCAUAAGAUUUCAAGUUCUUCUUUGGAGACUUUUCUCUGAACAAAAUGAACGAGACAACCCAGAGUGUCGAGUUUGCUGUAGCCUCCCCAAACAUUUGGUUACAGAUUGAAGAAACAAAUGCUAUUGAUGACAUGGGAAUGGAAGUGACAAGAAAAAGACUAAGUUUCGAUGUGGAAGUGAGGGAUUCUGUUGUCAUCUCUGCUGGGAAGUUGUAUUACAACAAGAAGAAAAUGGAAAUCUUAUGUCAGGAUCUAAAGAUGGAGUACUUCUUUAAAGAGAGGAGCUGGAAAUUCAUGGGUGAAAAGAACUGCUUAGUUCGUUUUAGUAAUGCUUCCUGACAUAUGUUCCAAGAUUAUUAUUUUUUGUUUCUUACUUUUGAUUUGUUUGCUAGGCUGCUAGCUUGGAUAGUAGUUUUUUUUUUUAAUAACUUUGGAGGAUUCAUUUAUUUUUAUAAAGUUUAGUCAAAUAAUUGACUUGUGUUGACCCCAUACUACAAUGGUUCUUCAGAAAUGUAACAAGAUUAAUUUUUAAUCUUCUUCCACCCAGUGGACAACUACAAUCAAUAAGAGAGAAAUGAAAAAAAAAAAACCAUAAUUAAGUUUCAGUCUCCAGAUUUUUGUUCUCCAUGAUUUUCUUUUAAUUGUGUCGCUAAACUUGCCUUGAACGUGCGACAUGUGUGUUGGGGCGAACUCUCCCUUCAGAUAAUGUAUGUAGAUGUCCAUGUUUUUUCUUGAUAAAAUGUGGCACUGGAAAUUAACCUGAUCAGCUAGUAAACGACUACACUGUAGUGUAGUGAUAGUAACCUAAUCAGCUAGUAGCUUCAGCACCAACGAAUCUAAUCUUUUCUCAGCCAAGUAUAAUUCUAUUAACAUUUUCAUUGCUCCUUAAUUUCAUUUCAUACGCAUCCUUGGGCUGAAAAAACCUACAUAUUGUAAGCAUAUUUCAAUCUUUUUUCUUGGGUGUCACAUGAUGCAUAGGUAAUAUCUAGUUUGCUUGAAUUAAGUCGUGGUUCUUUAUACUCUAAGGUCAAAUUUGUACUGGUCGCAGGUAAUUUGAAUUCCCAUCUUCUCACAUCAUUGUUAAAAUUGUCUUCGGUAGAAUAUGAGAGUUACUGUUUUCUCUUAUUUUGGGUUUGAAUAAUUACAAUGAUAAAUGCCUGCAAUUGAUUAGAAAUGUUUGGUACUUUUGCACAUAUGGUUUGUUGUCAUAUACUCACCACACACACAACUGAUUCGAGGGAUUUGGCGAAAACAUCUAUCGGAUACAUUUUUGGCUUCAUGUCAUUUUGUUGUUUUGUGCGCCUUGCGCGUGCUUGGUAUGUAGAUUUCUACUUAGUCUUUUACUGAUUUAAUGCACUAAUGCUUGUUUUGGUCUUUUUACCAGUUUACACUCAAGGGGUUCAUACAACAUUCGUGCUGUGGAACAUCAGGCAACUUUGAUAAUGGCAAUACAAAAGGAGAAUUAAUAUUAGUAUAUCUAUGGAGCUUAUAAGUGACUCUUUUUUUUAUAAGUUUUUACAAAGAAUGCAAUUACCUCACCACCUAUGCUUUCUACUUGUAGUUAUAAGAUGACUCUGAGCUUUUGACAUCUAUAGGAAAAAGCAAUUUUCAUGGGGUGGAAAUUGCCCGUAGGAUAGAAGGUUACAAUUCAUAACCACUUAAUUAACAACCCUACACUUUAUAAUAAUUCAAUCUGUUUCCCACUUUUCAGUAGACAAGAAUGUUUAUUUUAAUGCUCAACUUGGGACCAAUGUAAGUAAAUUUCCAGGAUUGUUUAAUUCUUAAAUUAAAUUUGAAUCACUCAAGUUAUGUAAAAGGGUUUAAGAUUACAUGCAUUUUAAAAUGUACUUCCAUUUGGCAACAACAAAAUCCCAAUAAAAAAUAAUUAAAAACCUCUGAAAAUCUCUAUUCCCCUGAAUAUUACCCACUUUGUAGGAUAUUAUACUUGGCUUGCAGUUUGGCAUUUCAAACUGUCCAUCAUCACUCUUACUAAACUUGAUAAAUAAGCUAGAUGCUUAUUUCUUUGACAACUUAUUGCUUUUGCGAGAAAAAUGGUUAUUGUGGAAAAAACGGAGUAUUUCUUGAAAGAAAGGAGUGGGAAACUUUCAUAAAUCUUGUGGAGUCAUCUUUCUCUGUGUGUAUGUGUAAUUGCAAGAAGAAAGACAAUAAGUUGAAACAGCAUCCAGAAUGUGAGGUCUGAAAACUCUAUUCAAUGGCAUUUGAAUUGUAGGCAGGAUUAACUAGGGAUAAUUUCAGAAAUCUCUCUUGAGGUUUUCAACCAUGUCACUUAGUUCCCUCAAAGUUUUAAAAAUUAUAUUUACCUCCCUUGAUUUGACACUUUUGAUAACCAAAUCCUAAAAUAGGAUCAAAAAAAUUAAUGAAUACCCUAAAAUGCAGUUAUCUUAUAAAAUUUAAUUUAUUCUUCUAAACAAUUUCAUAGUAAUUUUGUACAAUUACAAAAAAAUGAGCGUCAAAAUUUUCAUAACAAUAUUUGUUAUUUGAUAAUCAACUAUAGCAAUAAAUUUAUCACUAUAAUAGACUACAUUUCAUAGUGAUUUAUUGGAUAUAUAGAUUCUUUCUAAGAUAGAGAAAAAAAUCACAUCUUGAUUUUUGUUUAGAGUUUGUGGACUAGUUAAGUGGUGGAACUAUCAUAGUUUGGUAGUGAUUUUGGGCCAUUUGUUUUUAGGUUAUUGUUAAUUUAUUCUUGAUUUUGAUAAAAAAAAAACAAAUAAAAGCUGCAAAAAAGUUGGAUAAUAUUAGAAGUUAUCCAAAAAAAAUGUUACUGGUUUGACAUUUGAUCAGGAUAGAGGUCAGGGAUAACAUUGAUAAUUUUAUUUGGUUUUUUCCAACUAAAUAUAAAAGAAAUGAACAUGAAGAAAAAAGGAAAAUAAAUUAUAAAACCAUUUUUUGUAUAAGCAUAGAACAUAAGGAAGUUUCAUUAGAAUGUUAAUGCCAGUAUUGUCAUUUUGAAUUAAUGGAUAAGGAAGGUAUGUGUAAUUUUUGAAACUUCAAGGGAAUUAAGUGAAAUUGUUAGAAAUCUCAGGGGAGGCUUCUGAAAUUAUCUCAAUUAACUAUGUGUACGUGAAUCUAAAAAGCCUCCAUACCCAUUCUGCUGCUACCAUCAAUCGGCUCACUAGCAUAACCCUCCAUCCCAGCAAAAUCCACAGCAUCUUGUCCCAAAUGAAGCCUCGUGGAAGUGAUCAACAGGCUUUUGACUCUUGAGCAGUACAGUACCACUGCUCUGGCAGCAUAGUCUUUUCCAACAGAUUCUUUCAGUGAUUGCAAGUCUUCAAAAUGGUUGUUAACAAGUCCAAAAGAUGAUACACCACAGAAAUAUGCAGUUUAAUUUCAUUAGCAAGAUAAAUAUAGCUACUAGAAAUCUGGGUUUCUUAAAUGUUUUACUUCUAUAGGAGUAGUUUUUUUUUCUUUUCUUUUCAGAUAAAAAAAAAACCUUUUGAAACAUGCACUUAUGUAUUCUUUAAGGUGUUGAAGUGAAAAUUAUUGAGUUGUGGAGACUCCAUAUCAUACAAUGAUCUCCAAAAAGAAAAGAAGAGAAAAAAGAUAUACACCAACGUAAUUUAUAUAAGCUAGAUGUGUGCAUUGUAUAGAUAAAUUAUGGCUGUACAAAUUUUUGUGUAUAUACAUUGUGAUUACGGAUCAAGAAAGAAAAGUUGAACUUUCAAGUAGAAGAUUUGGUGGACAGGCCAAGAAGGUGGGAUGGCGUGCAAGUCACGUGUUCUCUCCCUAAACUGUCCCGUUCUUUCCUUGUGGUUCUGACGCUUUCAAGUCUCAGUGUACAACUACUCGUUUUCCUUUUUUCCUAAAUGUAAUAUACAUCUAUUGCUUAUGUUCUAUAAGAAGUAUUGUAGCCUAUAUUAGUUUAUAUCGCCAAUAUUAAAUCUUGUAUGUGCUGUUAGUGAUAGAAAGCAUAUGAUGUUGAUUCAAAUGACAGAACUGAUAAUCUGGAAUCUAAAAUUGGCCAUAUGCAUCUGUUACAACAAAUGUUAUGGUCUUUACCUCUUAUAAAGUUGGAUUGGAAGAAAAGGAUAGUGAUAAUUAAGUUCCAAAACAUUUUCAUGACAAGAACCAUUAGCAAAGUGAGUCAGGAAAAUCAUUAACAUGUAGUCUUAAGGAUGAUGAUCUCUUUGUUUCACCAAUUUUGAAAUAAAAAAGAUUCACAUCUACCUAAAAAAGAUCUAUAUACCUAUAUAUAUAUAUAUAUAUAUAUAUAUAUAUAUAUAUAUAGGUUAAAUGCACUAGACGCCAUUGAACUUUACUUUAGCUGCGGUUUGCUUCUUUGAACUCAUUAAAUAAGUAUUUUGUCCACCCCAUUUGAUAUUUAUGACCAAAGUGCCUUUACUAUUCUAUUUUGUUUCUUUUUUAGGCACUAUUGUUUUUCUUUUCCAUUACUUUCUUUUAUUUUUUAUUUUAUUCUUUUCACUUCUCUCAUGUCACUAUUUUGUUUCACUUUCCUACUCUAUUACUAAUUUUAUGCUUAUUAUAAUAUAUAAUUAUCUUUUACUUAUAAUUUCAUUCUUAUUUUAUUUAUUUACACUAUUAGAAGAUAGAUAUAUGCCUAUCAUAAUGGCUGCUGCCUGCAUCUACUCUAAUGGCAGAAAACAAUCUUCAAGAAAUCUUGAAACCCUUUUAUCAGCAAGCUUCUGAGGCUGAGUCCCUUUGGUCUCUUGGCUGCUGCCUCCAUCUACUCUAAUGGCAGCAAACAAUCUUCAAGAAAUCUUGAAACCCUUUUACCAGCGAGGUUCUGAGGCUGAGUCCCUUUUGUCUCUUGGCUGCUGCUGCCUCCAUCUACUCUAACGGCAGCAAACAAUCUUUAAGAAAUCUUGCAACCGUUUUACCGGCGAGCUUCUGAGGCUGAGACUCGAUUGGAGAGACUUGAAGCUGCAAUUGCUAGUGACAGAAAUGCCGGAAAUGAGGAAUUAUUUGAAUAAGGUUCGUGAGCUUCAGUCAAAGCUAGAAGAGGAGAAAGCAGAACAAGCUUUAGAAAGAGCUAAAGGCAGCUAAAUGCAGAAAAUGCCAAGCACCAGGAUCGCACGAACCAUCUUGUUCAAGCACUAAAGGAUGCUGAUUGUAUGUUACAAUCCAAGUGAGUGACCUUUGGGACUUAGCUCCAUUUGCCUCUAUCAAGUUGGAAUGUGCCAGAUGGGAAGAAUGACAUUCCAUUUUGUGAUCUGAAAGCGAACCAUGAUGAAAAGCAGCAGAUGAACUCAAAUGCUCUAUUUUUUUUGCUUUCUUCAAAUUUAAAGGGUCACUUAUAUACCUUCUUUACUGCAAAUGCUUUUCCUUUCAUUAAAUUUUUAUGCUUUUGUCAGAUGGAAUGGAACCAAUCUAGAGCCUCUCACUUAUCAGCUGUGUACAGAGGACUUGUCGAGUAGCAUAUGAAGUCAUUUUAGAGCUUUUCAUUUAUUGAGAACGAGAAAACUGCCAAAAUACAGGCACACACACACAUGCACACUUAUUUUCUAUUUUUCUAGUCAUUUGCAUAUUCGCAUACACAUACUCAUAUUGUCAAGUAUUCUUAACAAGUAUUUGAGCAAUCCUAGAUUAAGUCCAUCUUCUUUUGAAGGUUUGAUGCAUCUAAAUUUGUCAAAUUAACUUGGUAUUUUAUACUUCCAAUUCCAAACAUUUGGGUUUGUUUCUCGAAUGGACAACGGAUUACAAUUUCAAAAUCAACUAUUAGUUUUUAUCCUUGGAAUAUGAAUAAGAUUGGAAAUAGAUAGGCCUUACUGAUUUUGGAAAACUACCAAAACAGUUGAUGUUAUUUUUUUUUUUAAAAAAGUUUAAGUUUUUGAGUAGGUCAAAAUAAAUGUUAAUGAUCUGGCCCUGCGAAUUUAUAAUUUAUGUCUCUGGCUAGCCAAAUACUGUUAUUCCAUAUUAUCUCCGCUAUGGUAAGAGUCCUACAUGGGGAGGUAGUGAGGUACCUUACAUUUUACUUUAGAUUCCAGAUUCUGCACGAACUACCUAUUAACAAAAAACUGGCACAUCUGAAAUCACACACACACACACACACACACACAAUAUAUAUAUAUAUAUAUAUAUAUAUAUAUAUAUAUAUAUAUAUAUAUAUAUAUAUAUAUGUUGAUAGGUUGCUGUUGCUAAGUUGGUUAUUUUGGCUUUUUGUCAAGGGACUAUCUAUCUUUUUGCCAAGUGGAUGUCUUUAAUGUUAGUAUUUUUAUUUUGUAUUCUUGCAGUGGUUUUUGGUAAUAAUUAAUUUCCUUCCUUAUUUAUAGCAUGGUUUUUUAUUUAUAGUCAAUUUCAACAAAUCUAUUAAUAACCUACCUCACAUAAAUUUGUAUUAAUUGUUCAAUGCAUAAUUUUUAUUUUCUUAAUUUUCUUCAAUUACGUUCACUCUAUCUCUAUUAUUAUACUUGAUUAGUAUUUAUUUGUAAUUCUGAAGUUUUGACAAUUUUAAUUUUUUAAUGAAUCUACAUUACACAAUUCUAGCAUAUUACUAAUACAAGUCGAUUUGAAUAGAAAAAAGUCCAUUUUAAAUUGUAUAAAUAUUCAUUUUUUCUAAAAUAUUCUAUUAAUUUUUAUACUCUCUUCAUUCAAAUUCGAUUUAGGCCAAAGUAGUAUUCAUAUAAACACAGAGUUGUAAAAGUUCUCCCAAAUUAGUUUUCUUAGCUUUUAAUAAUUUGAGCAAAUAGUAAGUUCAUUCUAUUAGUUUACUUUUAAAAUUCUUUUUAGUAGUGAAAGAAUCAAAUGUUGACUUGCCACUAUUAAUUGGAAUAAACAUAAUUAAAUUACAGGAUAAGGUUUGAUUGAAACAAAUUAUUAGGUUGUUUUAAAUUAACCAUUUUCAAUAUGUUUAAUUUUAAUGUUUGUCCUAGAAUUAGCAAUUAAAUUUUGUAAAAUAGCAUUUUAAAUUCUUUUAUAACAAUUUUUGUUCAAAAAAAUAUAAAUUAUAGAACAUAAAAAAGUACCUGCACAAAUGCAUUUGUAGUGGUUGCAGGUAAUUCAAGUUCUCAUCUUCUUACAUCAUUGUUAUAAUCAUCUUUAGUAAAAUAUUAGGGUCAAAAGAUAUUUUCCCCUUAUUUUGGGUUUAAUUUAUUAUAAGAUGUGAGGACUCGCAAAUUCCUUGUAUUUUUCCUCAAAAAUACCCUUUUAUUUGAAAAUUAGUAUUUAUCAAAGGCCACUACCCAAAUAUUUCACAUUAAGUGUAGAUAAACCUAGAAAAUAGGGUUUUACGCUUCGGUUUCAAGUUUGGAGCGAAAUUAGGGUUUUCGCGAUUUUCCGCCGGAUGAAUUUUCGGUACAGAGUAAGAAUUAAUUUGGGGAUUAAAAGUGACUUUUAAGUGAGAAAUAAUAUGUGACUAGUGGCAAUGAUAUAAGGUUAGUGAAUGGGAAGUAAAAACCCUAGUACGUGAGUUUUUAAGAAAAACGGCGCGAACCGCGCGGUCCCGCGCACUACCGUUUGAACGCACCACUUGACCAUCAUUUUUUAUAUACUUAAUAUCUUUAAUAUUAGAGCCAAACAUCAGCUAUAAAGCUGAGCAAGCUGGCCGAAAUUUUUGACCAAAAACAACAAGGAAAAAGAAAAAAAUUAAGAACCAAUCUUGAAGCAACAAGUGGUAGACUUUCCUUGGUUGGUUGACUAAUGAAUUUCCAUCAUAUUUAUCCCUAAAACCAACUCCAAAGCUCUUCAUUUCUGCACCAUCACAGCCGAGAGAAAGAGAGAAAAGGGAGAGCAAGAAAAACAAGAAAAACAACCAUUUCAUCUUGAGUUUGAUCAACCAAGUGAGAAAUCAAACAAAACAAACCGAUUAAACUUGUCCUUGAGUGAUUAGUUAGUGACUUGUGGUGUGAUUUUUGAAAGAGAAAGCUUGGGCUACUCUUAGUGAACUCUAGUCAAGGUAAGAAAGCUUAUCUCUCCAAGUUUUACUUUCAAUCUUGUUAAAUUAAGCUUAGCAACUUGAUUUUGUGGUGGAAUCAUGGAUAUUAUCUUGUUUUGGAAGUUUUCCCCAAUUUAUUGAUGAACUAGGGCUUGAUGAAUUUCUGCCCAAUUUGUUGUAUGAAGUAUAUAUGUUGAAAUUAAGGUUAUAAGAGAGGCUUUGGUAGUGAUUAGACCAAGAAAUUAAGGAAAGUUCCACUAAAAACUAGGAAUUCCAGAAUCUGGAAAUGUUUUCCCAACAUUCUGUCCGAAUUUGAAUCCCUAUGCUAGAGGCCGAAUUGGCCUUAGGUCAAAGAAGGAAAGUUGUAGAUAAUGGUUUUAUAGGUCCUACAAAAUUUCAGCUCAAUCGGAGCAACGUAGGAUGUGAAAAGUCCAAAAUACCCUUACUAUUUUAAGUAUUUCCUAAGCAGUCCGUGUGAUCAGUUAAGUCCAGUUUAUCCCGUUUUUUUGACUAGGAUCCAUUCUGAUUUAGUGUUUUGCCAAAACAUGAAAGUUGUAGAAUUCUGAAUUAGAUUUUAAAUGCCUCUAAGAACACCUGAUUCGGACUUGUGUACUCUGAGUUAUGUCCAUUACAGUGUUCUGCGUUUAAACAGCCGACGAAUUGGGUUCUGGUUAGUAAUUUGAGAAUUUGACUAAGUUAAAUUAGGAACUGGACUAAGUGACCUUCAUGAAUGUUAUAGCUCUGUGUCUUAGCUUCGAAACGGCAUAGGUUUCGUCUCAAUCCGAUAAGCGUAGCUUCAGAUAUGUUAUUUCCGCAUUCGUACGUCAAAUCUGUCUUGUGCUAAGUUGAAUUUCUGCACUUGUGAUUUUGUAAUUCUUAUUCUUAUGAUAUUGUGAGCCUAUGGAACGGCUCUUGACUUGAAUUGCUUAUGUGUGAUGUUGGGCUGUGGUUGAGGAAAAAUAAUGAAGCCAAAAUGGCUGGAAAAUUAGGUAAACACAAAGGGCGUGCUGCCCAAAUUUUCGCUCGAGGGCUAGGUUUCUAUUGGAACUUGUAUACUUUUGUUUGGCCAAUACCAUGACCGGUUUUCCAUUAUAAAACAUGAUUUUUCAUCCUUGGGUUCAAACAACCCUCUUCUUACCUGAAAGUCAUCUUUACACGUUUUACUCUUAAUUAGUCGGGUUUCUUUGUUUCCCUUAAAUGUUUUGCUCGAUAAACUAUAAUAAUGUUCUCUUGUUCAACCUUAGGUUUCAUUGGUGAUUAAGGGUAAUAUCCGGAAGGAUAUUUUGCACGAUAUUUUGCAUUUCUAGGUGAGUGUUCCUUAUUUGAUUCUAUGGCUUGUUGUUAUCAUUUGCUAAUGUGUUAAGUGUUUUUAAUGAUUUCCAAAACGAGCUUUUUAGGCGAGUGUGUACUUUAUCGCACUCGACCUAAAUAACUGUGCAAUUUUCAAGGAUUUAAUGAUUGAAAUGUUACUUGCGCAUGAAUGUAAGCCUUUUGGGCUGAACUGGCCAUUGCCCCUUGUUACCGGUCGUCUCGAGCCAGAAGCGGACUCGGUCGGGCGAUUAGGGACUUGGGUGAACGUUUGGUAUACUCGAGUAUUACCCUGUAGGUUGGUGGAGACUGGCCAACGGCCAGGACGGGGGUGAAUGAAUGAAUGAAUGAACGAACGAACGAACGAGGGUUUAUUGAUAAACGAAAAAUGCAUUUUCAAAUGAUUGGAGGAAUAAGGGGAAAUGUCAGGAGAUCGAAUGAACGAAAUAACGAAUUGCUCCUUGUGAGCCGUAUCCUUUUAAUGAAUGUGUUACUAUCGCUUUCCAUUGUAAAUGUUUCUUGAAUUAUUGAUACUCCAUGUUUAAUGUAUUGGAUUGAUUAUCUGAUUAUGUGUUCGGAACCUCACUGGACUUUUAGCUCAUUCCUUUAGUUUUGUUUUCCUUACAGGGGAAGGCGAGCGAGGACGUGAGCUUGAGAUAGACUAGCCAAUCUAGUUUUGUUUCUUUUGUUUCUUUUGUAGUGGUUCUCGCCUAGUGCUUGGCACGGGCUGGACGUAUGAAGGAUUGAGAACCCUUGUAUAUUUGAUGUUUAUAUUCUCUUUUGGGUUGGUAAUGUAUAUAAGUUCCGCUUUAAGUUUGGAUCAAUGCCCUAUUUAUUCUAGUGAUUUAUUUCAAUUUUUAAUUGAGGACUGUAGCGAACGACUGAGUCCCGGCGAGAGCUGGGCAGGCGGCCCGCCGAACCCUCUGAUACGCCUUAGGGGGAGGUGGGGUCGUUACAUAAGAAGACAUGCUUGCUAUGAACAAAAAAAGUUUUGGUGACGAAGCUCGAGAUAAAGAAGUUGGAUUGAAUAGAAAUGCUUAAUGUUUUUUUUUUUCUCAUUUUCUAAUGAAUUCUAAAGUUAGACGAUUUUCUAGGUACGUAAUUUCAACUCGCAUCUAGCACCACCCUUUUUCUAAAAUUUUUUUUUUCUAGUAGUGGAAUGAUGGAAUUUAAGAAGCUGGAAUCUAGCACCCUUCUAAAACCUCAACUUUAUCCAGCAAACCAACGCCUCCUCAGCGAAUGUAGCAUCUCUACUCGCUAAGACUCCCUCACUUUCUCGUCUCUUCUCAAUCACAGACAAAGUAUAUUAGCACGUUCAAUUCACUCUCCCUUUGCCACAUCAUCAGUUCAAGAUAGAAGUUUUUUUUUUUUUAUUUCAUGCAUUUAAAUUUUGUGAAACAUGGUUGUUCAUAGAUAGACAAUGGGUUACAAUGUUAGAAAAAGCUAUUUCUUUUUAAGUAUUUAUAAGUAAUACAUUUUGCAUGUUUACUGAAAUACUUUAGGUUGAAUUUUCAAUAGUUGUCUUCUAUGCUGCCCCGUACGUGAUGGAUGUAUGAGAGAACUCAUCUUCAUCUGCUGGUUUUUUUUUUUUUUUUUUAAAGACAAUGUCAAGUUAAUUGAGAACUUUAAAUUGAUAUCAUCUUGUUGGUUUGUGCUCGAUUUUGUCAUUUUAAAGGUACACAGUCAUGGGGAUCAUAUAACUUCUGUUGUGUGAUACAUAAGUAUACUUUAAUCGCAAUUCAAAAGGACAACUAAUUUUACAGUUUCAUAAAUUUGCAUCUUCUUGAUCAAAAUCAACAUUUAUGGAAACCCAUCCAUCACCAUAGUCAGCAUAUUUACUGCCAACAUAAGUGGCCAAAAAUAUAAAUUCAUAAAUUUCUUUCUUGCCAAAAUGAUCGCUACCAAAUAAUUCAGAAACUCCAUUACCACUUUAAUUGAGAACAAUUUAAUUGAGAACCCUGCACUAAUCAUCCGAUUUACGCGUUUAUAAUAAUCCACAUGUGUUUUCUCUUUUAAAUUGGCACACAUGUUUCUUUUAGAUCUCAUUUUUGGCAUCAGUGUUAUUCUACAUCCAUGUUAGUGAAAUUCGUAGAAUAAACAUGAAACAAUCAAGUUAUCAAAGAAAGGAUUUAAUAUCACAUGCAAUAUAAAAUCUAUUUCCAGUUGGCAUUAAUAAAAUUUCUAGAAAAAGAAAAUAGCCAACAAGUUUUAGAAAUCUCUAUUUUCCUAAAAAUUACACACUUCGUAAGAUAUUAUGCUGGCUUGCAGUUUUGUAUUUCGAAGUGUCUAUCAUGACUCUUAUUAGAAUUGACACAAUAAGCUAAACGUUUAUUUUUGAAAAAACAUGGUCACCUUAAAAAAAAAAAAAAGAACUAAAAAGUUCUUGAGAGAGAAAGGAACGAAUAGCUCGUCAGCCAAAAGAAUUGCUCAGUUACUUCUCAUCAAUCUUGUUAAGAUGUCUUCUAAUGUAUUCGGCAGUUCUACAACUUUGUUUCUAAAACUUCAAUCGAAAGAUUAACUUAUAUGUUGUAUAAAGUGUUAAAUCAAAUUAUUUAGUGACGAUCCCAUAUUUACCACCAACAUAAGUGCCCAAAAAUAUAAAUUCAUAAAUUUCUUUCUUGCCAAAAUGAUCACUACCAAAUAAUUCAGAAACUCCAUUACCACAAUUAUUAAAUACCUUCAUACUGUCAAUCAACUCCAUAAGAGAAAAAUAUUUUUCAACUUUGAUAAAACCUAUGUUUAUCAAAUCAAACAUCUUCCUAUCACCUUGAGGAGAGAAUUUGUCAAUGUAUCAGGUAGGUUUAUGUUUGUUAGGGGAGAAUUUGUCAAUGGUGAGAAUUUGUCUAUAGCAAAAAGCCAAGCAGAAUUGUGUCUGUUGGGGGAACAUCAGCUGAUUCUUGAAGAACCAAUUGGAAUCGUGUGCAAAUGUUGCUAAAUUGUGUUUAUAGAGAUGAAGAUGGGAUUGGGUUGACCUUCCAGAGGUGAUUGCUUUAGUCUCAUGAGCUUCAUUUUAGUGAGUCAGCCUUUGGAAACUAUUACACCUCCAUUCAUGCUGAAGGCUCUGUACGUAUUGGAUCUUAUUCCAGAUGAUAUUAAGAUAGUCAUCAACUAGAAACAUCUUUGAGAUUUUGUAGGAACAGGAAAAUGGCGAAGAAGUGAUUACAAAUAUAAUGAACAAAAGUGGGAGGAAAACUAUUACUAGGGAUAAGAACGAUUUUGAUGAUGAUGAUGGGGAAGUGGAAGCAAUAUUGUGUUUGUGACUAAAGAAAAUGACCCUCCAAACUUGAGAUGUAAUUAUGUAAAGUGUAGGAAGUAGUUUCCAUUUGGAGGAAAAAGGGUUGAGGUAAUGGAAAUAAGAUGAAAAAAAUGACCAUUGAGAGUAAACCUUUAGGGAAUGGAGCUCGUGACAAGGGAAAUUGUCUAUUGAUUGAGAAUCUUGAUGUUCUUGACCUAAAAUCCUCUAGCUCUGAAGUGGAUGCUAAUGAUUCUGAUAAAGACUAUAGUGAGGAAGAAUCAGGGAGCUCUGACUCCAAUUUUAAAAGCCGAAUUUACGGUUUUAAUAGUACUUAAUGCUUAUAGGUUUACAGAUUUGAAUGGAUAAAAUAACCACUCAAAAUAUUGAUGUGGGAGAUAAUAAAUAAAUCAUAAUAUUGUUAUAUCUUAAAACAAUGGAUGAAAACCACACCACAAUAUAAUCUUACAGACACUUUUAGACUCUCUUAAGAAAAUAUCACAACUAAUCCUAUAUUUAUAACCUACUAGAUUGGGUAAGAAACCACUUACAUUAACAACUACCAAAUAAACAUGUAUUCCUAAAUUACAUAACUACUAAAAACCUAACUUCAAUAAAACUAGUAAAUAAAUAAAUACAUACUUCUAUGCGUGGUUUAUUUUGCCAAUAUUUCAGAAUUUGUAAGAAUUACCUACGAUCAAAAAUGCUGUCCUACUUCAUUUGGAAAUAUUUAGAUGAAGCCCUGCUAUAUUUUUGGACGAAAACACUGCCAAUUCAGCAUGAAUUAUACUCCGUGACCAGGCUGAUUUCAAACUGUGCCAUACUUUUUUGGCUUAGGAUUUUGUACUACUUAAUAUUGUAUAAUAACAAAAAUUGGCACAUCAUUUUGUGCAAGAUAAUGUUAAGCUAAUUGACAAACUUGAUACAUGAUUUUGUUUCUGCGUGCGCGUUGCGUGUGUUGGGUAUGCAUAUUUGUUCUUUGCUUUUCCAAUAGCUUACAGCACUAGGCAUAUAUUUGUCUUUUUCAAUUACCAGUUCAAAGUACAUGUAGGAAAUUAAACCAAACUAUUUUAGUAUUAGUUUCCUAAUUCUUUUUGGUGUCUUGUUUGUCUAGUUUCCAUAUUAGAUUAGGAAAUCUCAAUCAAUUUUCAAGUAAGUUUCCAUAUUUGUUUUAGGAAGUUUUAAAGUCUAUAAAUACUACCAGUCUAGUAGGUUGUUAAUUGAAGUGUAGAGUUAAGUCUUGAGAAUAGGUUUGAGAGAAAAUCUCAUAAUUAAGAUUUGUGAGUUGUUGUAAGUGAAACGACUUGAUAUUUGUUAUUGUUGAAUUUUAAGUUAAUUAAAUUAUUGAGUAUUUGUUCUCCUCAUUUUCCCACAUAUUUUUAUAUGUGUUAGAAUUGCUUCCGCUAUGUGCACACAUUUUUAUGUUACAACAAGUGGUAUCAGAGCUCUAAGCUUUGAUCCUGGGGCUUGUUCGCAAAAUUGGGGUUUGAAGUUUGUUUGUGAAAUUAAAGUAUUAAUCCGCAUUAUUUACAACAUUGUCAUGUUUUUAUCUUGAUGGUAAAAAUAAUUUCAAGACUUGGAGGUCGAUGAUGAAGGAUUUUUUCAAAGAUAUUGGAGUUUGGAAUAUUAUCCAAAAGGGGUUCACAAAACCUACAGCAGAUACAGAAUUAUCAAGCGAUGCAGUUAAAUAAUUAGAGAGGAAUAGAUAGUUGAAUUGCAAGGCACUCUACUAUCUCAGUAUCCAAGUCCAAUUACAUGUAGUGAAAAAAUUCAUACAUGUAAAGACAGCAAAGGAGGCUUGGAAAUUUUUAAUAAAAUUUUAUGGCCAUGGUGGAGAAGAAAUUUGUGAUGAAGAAAAAGAAUAUUUUGAUGAGACAAAGAAAGAAGAAAUUGUAGAAGUUGUGAGGGCACAUGAAGAUGAAAAAUUUGUGAUUCAAGAAGAAAUCUCAUGUGUGGUUGAGAAAAAAGGUGAAGUCAUUGAUGAAAUAAAAGAUGUGCCUGAAGAUCAUAGCAACGUAGAAAUCGUUAAUUUUGUCGAGAUUGAUGAAUUUUUUGAAGAGAAAAAUCAAGUGAUGGGCUUGGUUGAGAUCAAUUGUGAGGUGGACAAAUUAAUUGAAAAUUGUGAUACUGCUAAAGUUGAUGCAGUUGUUAGUGUUGAAAAACUAAAGGAAAAUAUGGUGAUGUUGAAAACCUCAUUGGUAAAAAUUAUGAUUUUAUGAUUUUAUAGGUGAUAUGGAUGAAUUGAAUUGUGGAGUAUCUAAUGAAGAAUUAGUGGAUAUAUUUGAAUUUUUUGACAAGAGUGAUCAAGCCAACAAAUUAUUCGAAAAGUAUAAAUUUCGUCCACUACCGCACGUGAAGAUGAAAUUGGAGAUCUAUUGCAAGUUAGUGUUGAAUGUUAUUUAUACUGUGAUUGAAUUUUUCAUGGAGAUUCAAACUCAUGAUGGCAAUAGAGAUGACAACAUCAAGAGUUUGGUUUAAGGGAGACAAUGCAGGAAAUUAAACCAAACUAUUUUAGUAUUAGUUUCCUAAUUCUUUUUGGUGUCUUGUUUGUCUAGUUUCCAUAUUAGAUUAGAAAAUCUCAAUCAAUUUCCAAGUAAAUUUUGGUUUACGAUUAUAUUUUUUUUAGGAAGUUUUAAAGUCUAUAAAUACUACCAAUCUAGUAGGUUGUUAAUUGAAGUGUAGAAUUGAGUCUUGAGAAUAGGUUUGAGAGAAAAUCUCAUAAUUGAGAUUUGUGAGUUGUCGUAGGUGAAACGACUUGAUAUUUGUUAUUAUUGAAUUUUGAGUUAAUUAAAUUAUUGAGUAUUUGUUCCCCUCCUCUUCUCACAUAUUUUUAUAUGUGUUAGAAUUGUUUCCACUGUGUGCACACAUUUUUGUGUGCCAACAGUACAUCAGAGUUGUGGAAGGUAAGUUUACUUUAAUAAUCGCAAUAAAAUGAAAAACUAAUUGACUCAUUUUAUAAGUGUUUAUAAAGAAUGCUAAUACCCUAUCACUUAUGCUUUUUUACUUGUAGCAAGACGAUGAAACUAAGCUUUUUGCAUCCAAAUGAAGAAGAAAAUUUCAUACGAUAGAAAUUGCAUGUAGGAUAGAAGGCGUACACUUAAGUAUCAUUACUUAACAACCUUAAACAAAUAAUGUGAUUUAUCCAUUGGUAAAAUUCACAUCUAUUUUCCUCUUUUCAAUUGGCAAGAAUUUUUUUUUUUUAAUGCUCAACUCUGGCAUCAAUGUACAACAAUAUCCACAUUGGUGAAAUUAUUAGGAUAAUUUUGAAACAAUCAAGUUAUCAAAGAAAGGAUUUAAAAUCACAUGCAAUUAAUAGAGCUCGGAAACAAACCAAAAUCCAACAAUCCACCCACUAAUUUUAACGGAUGGGUUGGAUAAUUGGGUUAUAGAUUUUGUUGGAUUGGGUUAGAAAAAUCUAACUUAUUUAUUGGGUGGGUUGGUUUUUUAUUUAGGCACCAAUACACAAUCUAUUUUUAAAAAAUUCAAAAUAAUAAAUACAAGAUUUAACACAUAUGCAUAACCACUUGCAUUUGGACAUGUGUUAAUAAUUUGUAGACCUAUUUGUAUUCGAAAUCCUCAUAUAUACGUUUUCAAUCAAUUCUUUAUAAUUUUAAUUUAAAAGAAAAAGAAACUUGAAAUGAAAACUCAUGCUUAUUUUACUUUUGCGGUAGUAGUUAAACUUACUCAACUUCUAUAAUCAUUUAUUAUACCUUUUAAGAUUAUUUUGUUUCCCAUCCCUUUUUUUUUCUUUUCCUUUUUUUGGUCAUUGUUCUCUGGUUUGCUGGACCAUUGAAGAUGAAGUGAUGUAUAAUCUCCAUUUUGGGAUUGGAGAUGUAAUUAUGACUUAUCAGCAUAACUCGUAAUCAAAGGCUUUAUUUUUUCACCAAGAAAUUGAUUCAGCGCUUGGUGUCAAAUUUCCUUUAUACUUCUUUUUUUUAACAGUGAAACGAAAGAAAAGUGAUUUUCUUUGCAAAUUUUAAAGUAUGGAUUGCUACUUGCUUGAAUUUGUUAACAUUUCGUAUACCUAGAAUAGAGUUUUAAAUUUGUUCUAAUUGCAUUCUUUCACUUUUUUCUAACUUGUUCUAUUUCACUGUUAAUAGUUCCUCACCAAUAUUAUAAUACAACAAGUUUAUGUCUCUUAAUUACAUUUUCAAGCAUAAUAUAAUCUAGCAUCAAUAAUUUAAAUAUAUAGAAUAUUACAUCUUACAAUAAAGCAGAUACAAAUAGUAAAAAUGUUAAAUUAGUGGGGACAAAAAUAAACUUCAAUCAAUUAGUAGUAUUAAAAAGUAUAAAAUAAACAAAUCUUUUAGCUAUUCUAUCUAAAUGUACACUUUAUUAUCUCAAAUCCACAGUACAAGCAAUAUAAAAUAUUAUUCUAUUUAUGAUGCAUUUUCAAGGAAAUUAAGGAGUGUAUGUUUGUGUGUGUGAAAGUGUGUUAGUGUGUGAAACUAUGUUUAUGUAUACAAAAAUGUGUUUAUAUGUGUGAAAAAACCUUUUCAUGCAUGUAAAUGUAUGUGAAAGCGUUUAUGUAUCAAAAUAUAAAUAAUUACUAUAUUGGGUCAUAUUUGAAUCAUGGGUUUGAUAUGACCAAAUAUGUCUCAAUCUAAAAUUAAUCCAAUCUAAAGUUGGACAAGUUGGAUAUAACCUAUUAAGUGAAAAUCCAACACCAACCUAUCCAAAACCCACCAAAUUCGCCGAAUUGCUAGGUAUACAUGCAAUACAAAAUCUACUUCAAUUCGGCUAGAUUAAAAUUUUUGAAAAUCUGUAUUUCUCCAACAUUUUCCAUACCAUUUUGUUGUAGAUAAUAUCUAGCUUAUUGAGAAUUUAGCUUCAUAUCAUUUUGCUGGAGCGUGCACUUCACGUGUGCUUUGUAGGCAGGUAAUAUUUUUUACUCUUUUCAUUGAUUUAAUACACUAAUGCUUGUCCUUUUUUUUUUUUUUUCUUUGGAAAAAUUCACAUUCAUGGGGAUCCUAUAAUCUUUGGUGUGAAACAUAAGUAUCCUUUUGUAAUCGCAAUACAAAAGGAGAAUUAAUUUCACGCUAUGGAGCCAGCAUACGUGAUUUACUGGUUCUGCAACUAUUUAAUAUUCAAUCUGUGUCCCUCUUUUCAGUUGAUAAGAAUGCUCAUAUUAAUGCUCAACUCGGGCAUCAAUAUGUUAAUGUCCUGGUUUAGAGAAAUUCUUAAAUUAAUUUUGAAAGGCCCUAUCGACGUCGUAGUAAUAUGAUAAGUGAUAAUCUCUAAAUCAGAAAAAUGAAAAGGGUAACACAUUAACUGAAUUUAAUAAAGGUAUGUACACAAUUUGCACAUAUAUAGAGUAUGUUUUUUUAAAGAAAAAUUGUAUAGAUAAAUCCAGUAUGACUUUCUGUUAAAAAUUCGUAUUGGCAGUAGCUGAAUUGGCUAGUAGCUUCGGCUUUGAGGACAGGUCAAGGAGGUUGGAGCUUGUGCGAGUAACGUGUUCCAUUUCUUUUAUUAACUGUUCCUUUCUCUGCUUUUAUCUACAACUAUCUCCUCAAUGACACCCAAGAAAAAAAUCUUAAUUUAAAACUACUGACUAGUACAAUCCAACCAUUUUCACUCUUGCCCACUAAGUGCCAUUUUCUCUGCCAAAUAGAACUCUAUACAAGAUUGGAUUUACUCCCUAAUUUUACUUCAUACCCAUCAUUGUGCCAAAAAACCCUACAGGUUAUAAGAAUUAUUUUAAUUUUCUUUUGUGAUUUUCAUGAUGCCCACUAAUAUUUGUUCUUUUUUCGAAUUAAAUAGUGGUUGCUAUGAUUUAAAAUUCUUAGUCAAAUGUCAAAAUUGUAGUGGUUGCAAGUAAUUUCAGUUCUCAUCUUCUUGCAUCAUUGUUAUAAUUGCCUUUACUCUUUAGUAGAAUAUUACAGUUGAAAGAUUUUUUUCCUUAUUUUGGGUUUAUUUAUUAAAAGAACAUACGCUAGCUAUGAAUAAAAAUAUUAGGCACUUGAGGGUGUGACGAAGGUUCGAGCUGUUAAUUCUUUUUAAUUUUCUAAUUUGUUCUAAAUUUAGGAUGGUUUUCUAGGUAUACAUAGUUUCAAAUUGAAUUUAGCACCUCCACAAUAUGGUAUCAGAGCUUACUGAUUCUUCCUUGUUAUAGUCUUUAUGAGAAUCAUUAGCAUCCUCUUUAGAGCUAGAGGAUUUUGAAUCAAGAGUAUCAAGAUUCUCAAUCAACAGACCCUUUCCCUUGUCCUAAGCUCCAUUCCUUGGAGGUUUACUCUCAAUGGUCAUCUUUUCAUUUGUCAUAUUUCCAUCACUUCUUACUCCUCUUUCCUCUAGAUGGAAACUGCUACCUACCCUUUACAUAAUUACAUCUUAAGUUUGGAGGGACAUCUUCUUCAGUUACGAAUAAAACAUCACCUCCACUUCUCCCACCAUCAUCAUCACAAUCAUUCUUACCCUUGGUAACAAGUUUCCUCUCCCUUUUAUUCAUUUAAUUUGUAAUCACUUCUUCACACUUUUUCUAUUCGUGCAAAAUCUUAACAUCACUUCUAGUUCCCGUAUCAUUAUUCCUACCCUUGUAAACACUUUCUCUCCUUUUCCUCCUCUUCAUCCUAUUAAAUUCCUUCAAGUUCAUUUCUUCCACCACUUCCUCUUCUCUCAAAAUCCUAACAUCACUUCCACUACUCUCAUCAUCAUUGAAAUUCUUUUUAAGGGUUCCCUUCGUUUUUCUAUUGAAGAUCUUUUGGUUGACAUUUCCCCCACCUUUGCUUUUCAUCACUUCUAUUGCUGCUAAUUCUAACCAUUUCUUCACCGUUCCUUGUCAACUUACCAAUUCUUCCCUCUUUUUCCCUCGAUAGCGUUCAUUGCAUGAGAGUCAUGGGCUUUAUUCAUAGGAAACUUUCUGAUAAUCCUCUAAUUCAUCAUAUUGAGUGUUGUUUGAUUAAUGUGUAUUUUGUUGAGAGUUUACACCUAGGUAUCAGAGCUCUAGAUUCAAGAAAUUGAUUAAGAAAAGUAAAUAGUAUUCAUAUUUGUUUCUAGUACUCGUAUUUGUUUAAGAGUAUUCCACCCACACCUAGAUUAGGUCCUUUUUCUCUUGAAAAUUAAAGUUAUUUAUUUGGUAAUUUAUCAUCUAAAUUUGUCAAACCUGUUCUUUUAUAGUUCCAACAUUUGAAUCUUGUUUCUAGAGUAGACAAUGAAUUACAAUGUCAAAAUCAACUAUAAGUUUUUAUGCUUGAAAAAUGAAUUGAACAGUAAAUAGGUAGGCAUUUCGUUAAAGGUAUUGUUAAGCUAAUUGAAAAACUUAUCUUGAUACAUCAUUUUAUUUUUUUUGUGAUGCGUGCGCUUUGCGUGCGUUGGGUAUGUACAUUUUUUGUUUGCUUUUCCACUAACUUGUAGUAUUAUGUGUGUUUUUGUCAUUUUCAAUUACCAAUUCAAAGAACAUCCGUGGUGUGGAAUGUAAGUAUACUUUAAUAAUAGCAAUAAAAUGGAAAAUUAAUUGGCUCAUUUUAUAAGUUUUUAUAAAGAAUGCCAUUACUCCAUCACUUAUGCUUUUUUCACUUGUAGCAAGAAAGGAAAAAGCAAUUUUCAUACGAUGGAAAUCGCAUGUAGGAUGGAAGGCGUACACUUGAGAACUAUUUAAUGAACAACCUUAAACAAAUAAUGUGAUUUGUCCAUUCAUAAUAAUUCAUAACUAUUUUCCUAUUUCAAUUGAUAGAAAGUCCAAAAAUUUAGGAUAGUUUAUAUCUCAUUAGUUUGCUACAUCGAUUUAUUGGAGAUAAAAUGCUAACUAAGAACUUUUGCUUAAUCUCAUUUUGUGGUGCGUGCGCUUUGCGUGUACUUUUCAUGUAGAUUUGUGCUUUAGUCUUUCAUUGAUCUGAUGCACUAACGCUUGUGUUUGUCUAGCUUUUGACCAAUUCAAUCAUGAGUAUACUUUGUAAAAUCAAAAAGAAGAAUUGGUUUUAUAGAUAUGUAAGCUUACAUAAUUCGACUUUCCAUUCAGAAGUGUUGACAAGGAAUCCCGUUACCUCUUCACCUAUGCUGUCAACCGAUAGCAGGACAGUGCCUUUGAAAUUGCCAGCAAGAUGAAAGGUGUACAAUUGAAAACCAUUUAAUUAGCAGCCCUACAAAAAUAAUUUAUUUAGUCCUUUUAAUCCAAAUAAAAUCACACGCAGAUUAUACCAUAAAAGUAAUUACACUUUUAAUUUUCUAUGACCGAAAUUGUAAAUUGUGGUUGAUUAAGCAUUCAUGUCAUGAAACUCUUCAUCCUCAAAUAUUAAGUGUGCAAGGUAGAUGAUAUGUGAUCCAGCUCAAAUGUUAAAGUACAGGCAAAACUGCCAAAUAAUUAUAUCGGGUGUAAUUUUUUGUUUUUAGGUUAUGUUUUGGGCGGCAUGUGUUUUUAAAAAUGAUGCUAAAAUCUCUUUUAAAAAAGGUACUCAGAUUUGGGUCGCAAAGUAAUGACAAAUUCGGUCAACAAGUCAAAAGUUUGUUUGAAUUAUCAAUGUAUCAAUACACACGUUACUAGCUGUUGUAUAACACGACACAGAAGAUAACUUAGGCAUAGAGGAUUUUAAGUGAUCCUCUUUUAUCAGGUUGGGUAGGUCAAUAUGAGGGAAAUUUGGCGCAUCUAGAUUUCCGUCUCUACUACUUAGAAAACAAUUGAAAUUAAAACAGAUGAUCUUAGGAGAAAAGUGAAGAAAGCAAAGCUGAGAAAGCUAGAGGAAAAGUAAACUUUGGAUACUCUUCCGGUGGAGUUUGGCCAUAGAAUGCCCAGUUCUCGCCAGUAAAGCUGAUUGAUCAGAAAGUAUCAAGUACAUAGGUUUAUGGAAAGGAACAUUGAAGUGAGAAGAUCGAGUGAGGCUUAAGUGAACGGAAUUGAACUAUCAAGGAGGGGUCAAUCUCUAAUAGGCACAUGAAAUGAAAUAAAGUUAGAAUUGAAAGAUCAACUAACCUACUCAAUACUGAAAUCUGGUUUAAUUCGUUAAGAGUUCGGUCGAAUUUGGUUCAUGAACAAAUCAAGCUACGACGAGGUCUCAAAUUUUCAAUCCUCGCAGCCAUCUUCAAUCGCAAAAGUAUGGCAAACUGGAUGGGGCACAAAACUAUAUGGGAUUAUGAUGUGCGUAAAUUUUGCGAAUAAAAAAUCAACCACGGCUGAAAAUAAAGAAUAUACUACAAAAUAAUAUGCAUCACACAAAAAGGCAGGAUUGCCCCAAACAGCCCUGAGAAGACUCUGCAUGAUACCUUAUUUAUACCGGAAGCUCUCGCUCUUCCUCUUCUCUCCUCAACCCUAUUGCAAGCCUUAGAAAAAUAAAAUAAAUCAAAAUAAAAUCUUUCAAAAGGAUCAUCAAAAUUCGAGUCCCAAGACAAGGUGCCAAGAUAAUAAAUUCCUUGUAAAAGGUAAUUGCCUAAAUAAGCUUUACUUUUUGAAACAUCCACGGGUAGAAACCAAAUGGUCGGAAAGGUAGUAGAGAGGCGAAUGAGGAGGAUGGUUGUGAUCCGUAUAUUCGAAUAUUUUUGGACCUUAUUUGGGUGUUUUUUCUAUUUAAUUUUUGUAACUUUUUAUAUUUUUUUACUAAAUAUGUAGUUAUCUAAAUAUAAAUGUUAUCUAAUAACGCAACUUGAAUUAGAUUUUUUUAUUAUUCAUUGAAUCAUAGGUAAUUUAAAAUAUACGAAAUUCUCACGGUAUGAUAUAACGAAAGAAAGGAACUUUCCUAGAAUUAAUGGGACAAACUUACAUAAGCAAUUGUAAGAAUAUAUGACAAUUAAACACAAUUUAGGAAGUAUUCAUCCACGAGUGGGGAUUUUAUUCCUUUGUUUUUUUUUCAAAAUAAUAUAUUUUGAUAGAAAUUUUCAAAAUAAUGUAUUUUGAUAGAAAUUGACACCAUCUCAAACUUUCAACUUUUUCAACAAAAAUUAUUUUACUAUUUUGAUUUGAAAUGUGGACGGGUGAGAAUUCUAGUACUUGUACAAGUGAAUAAGACAUGUCUAGUUACACAAUCUAUACAUGGAAAUAAAUUCCUGUGAUUUAUAAUCUCCAUAAUCAUGAUCAUUUUCUCCAAUUAAUCAAGAAUCUUCAAUCACUUAAUUGAUUUGGAUUAAAGCAUUUAUUAAUUGUAACCACUAAUUGUAUUUGGAUGCGAUUCCCUAUUUAAUAUCUUUCUCAAUUCUUAGCGUAUAGACAUAUCCAACUACUAGUUAUAGAUAUAUAGGCGAUUCUAUGAAAUCUUAAAAAUUCAAUGUUUUUUUUUUUUGAAUGUGUCUGCUGCAUGUAUAUGAAUCAAAAUUCUUCCUAGGUUGUAUUAGAUCGUCCUGUUGGCUAGCCAUGAAAAACUCCGACUGCUACAUAUUUAUCGGCCUCGCUGGGGUCUAUAUGUCAUUGAUGGGAGCAUUACUUUGGAUAGACAUUAACAAGCCGAAUUCCCCAGAGAUCAGCAUCGACUCCAUUGGACUCCAGAAUAUCAACAUAUCUUCUGAUCAUGUAACUGCCGAUUGGGAUUUCAAUUUUUUAAUCAAAACAGUAACGAUUUUGGCUUUUCCUAUCUAUUCACAGCUUCCUUGUAUUAUGACAAAACUUACAAACUCCGCAACUUAGCCAGAGCUGAAACUUUUCUCGCGGAUUCUAAUAGUCCAACUUUCUCGCAAGGUGGAAAAAAUAAGACCACUUUUACAGUGCGAUUUGAAGGUGAUUCAGUGCCCAUUGACGAUAAGUUGAUCUCCAAGAACGAAGGUGGAGGAAAUUCAGAAUUUUCGGGUGCCCAUUUGGGUCUAAAUCUGGAGGGGGAUAUCGAACCUGCACCGAAAACAAGUUUGUCGCCGAUAAUGCGUCGGGCCGUAUGUCCCCUCUAUGUCAAGUUUUCAGAGUGAAGGUUGGUAUCUCGUCGGAUUCUGCUACUGGAGUUGCUACACAUGUCUAUUAUGGCAAGGAUAGUCAUCGUUUGUCAUUGGAUAGUGUGAUUUAUAAGUUAGGAAAUUUGUUCAGUAACAAGUGUAGAAGACUUAGUGCUAUGUGAUUUUUUUUAAGUAUACCAAUUCUUCCAAUAGCUCGAUCUCUUUCAUUUCAUUCAACAUGUAAUGAUUACGUCUUUGGAACUGAAAUUUAGAUCUUCGAAAUCCUUACUCUAGUCAUUGGCUUUUCGCAAAAAAAUUUUUUUUUUAAUAUUCUCUGAAUACAUUUGUAAACUUUAUCAAAUGGAAGAACAUCAGCUGAAAAUUUUUCUUUACAAAAUUUUUCAUGGAAAAAUUCGAGAAUUUGUUUCUGUCGUACAAAAAAGACCUCAGUUCGUCAUAUUUUGCUACGAAUCCAGGAACUAGUUUUGUUUGGUCUGGAACUUGAACGGGCCCCCGCUGGAAUUUGGAACUAAGAAGAGUAUUUGUUCUUUCCGGAGCUUAAAACCGGGAAGUGUGAGUACUCUUUUUUUUUUUUUUCAUUCAUGGAGUCAUGGAGCAAGAGACUGUUUGAGAGAACGGCAAUAACAUCAUCCAAAACAUAAAGUCCUAUGCCAACAAAAUCCUACUCCCAUGCGAUGCACAGCUAAAAUACUAGUCUAAAUUUGGAUGAGAAAAUAUGGAGCAGCAAUUGAAGAACUUUAAAGAUUAUUUCAAGACUAAACUAUAUCCAUACUAAGAUAGUCCGAAAUUUAAGAGAAAUAUCUUUUCCACAAAUUGGGUUAAAAUUAUCUCAAUGCAUAGAAAAGUAACCAACAUCCGACUCCUGCUGCAAUAAUUUUUCUGAUCGUCACCCUCCAAUAUUGACUUAGAUCUUUUCAUAGCGGUAGGAAGGUUAAAACAACCGGUCUUUUGAAAUCAGAAUUCUUCAAAUAUAGCCUCAGGCUAUCGUUUGUGACCAGCCAUGAAAGUUUUCUGCUGCUUUUUUGCUGGCAUUAUAGUCGGCGGCGCAUUGGUCUCACUCUUGGGGACAGCUAUAUUCGUAUGCAAUUACAAUCUGUCUACCCCACAGAUCAGCAUAGACUCCGUCCCACUCCAGAAUGUUAAAGUAUCUUCUGAUCAAGUAACUGCUGAUUGGAAUUUCGAUUUUUCUAUCAAGAACUCUAACGAGUUUGGAUUUUCCUAUAAAUUCAAAGGCACCUUAUAUUAUUAUUUUUAUUACCAAUACGGUUCUAGAUCAUCCAGUUCUGAAAUUUUCGUUGCAGAUACCAUUAGUCCAACGUUGUCACAAGGUGGAGAAAAUCAGACAACUUUUAUGGUGCGAUUUGAAGGAGUUUCAGUGCCCAUUUGCAAUAAGUUGAAAGAUGGUGGUGGAAAUUCACAACUUUCGUAUGUCUCUCUAGAGCUAACUCUGGAGGGGAAUGUUGAACCUGUGCCUAAAAAAAGUUUGUCACCGAUUAUGCGUUGGGCGGUAAGAUCUCUUUCUGUCGAAUGUUCAAAGUUGAAGAUUGGUAUUUCGUCAGAUUCUACUACCGGAGUUACUACAAAGGUCUAUUAUGACAAGGAUGGUGAUUGUUACUCUUGGUGGAAUAAUUUUUUGCUUGGAUGAGGCACUGGUGCCCAUGGAUGAAUGGCUGGUACCGUCCAGUCAUUGACCAAGAUCUCGAUCUGAGCCAUUGGUUUCAGUUGAUUUCAAAAUGCACUAUAUAUGAUCUUAUUUAGUGCAUUGGAGACUUCAAGUCAGUACAGGGGAAAAUAAGAACAGAAGUUUGAGAAUAGAUGUCAGGGUAUAAGAGUUCAUAUUCCUACCAUCUGAACUGUGUCGAUUUUGAGGACUAGAAUAUAUGAUUUCACCUUUGAAUAGAGUGGCCAAGAACGAACAUUAUUGACUGAUAUUUUGUUAUGUUAAAUUAAUAUGAAGCUAGUACGUUUGCUCGGGUGCCAUUUGUUUUUGGAUUCGAUAAGUGGUCCGACCAGGUUUUAGAUUAAAAUGGUCAGGAUGAUUGGAAUGAAUGUACCUUUAAAAACAUUGCCCGAACCACUUCCAAUAUGGGAUUUAAUUGUCAUGGCAUCUCUGUGGACUGUAGAGAUAUUUUGUUCCAGUAUACCGAAGAAGAUGAUCCUGAUGGAUAUUUUACUUGGCUUAAAUCCCGUCGUGCUAAUUCGUGAUAUAUUGACCUGUUUUUCCAAUUGACCAUCCUUGCUUAACUACUCCGACUCUUUAUAGGAUUGAGUUGUGUAAAAUAUUCUUGCAAAGGUGACCAUUGAUUUUUGUUAUAUGUUAUGCUUCAAAAGUAACAUUUUGUUGAUAUGGCAUAGAUCGAAAAGUAUGAAAAGGGUAAACUCGGUGCAAACUCUUCAAACAGGAAAACUUCCUAUUAUCCACGGGAUUAUACCCGAUGCUGUCCUAGUGAUACAUGUUCAGAUGAAAUUUUAUCAAACAACUUUCUCAAAAAAAGUAGGAUAAAUUACAUAUAACCCCUUGUACUUUCAUCUUUUACCAUAUGACCUCUCUAAUAUUUCAAAACGUCCACUUCACCUCUCUAUUGUUUUAUGUAAAGUGAGGACUUGACAAAAAAUAACCUAUAUAAUGUUGUUAGUUGAAACACCAAUAAUGUCCUUACUUAUAUACUAAAUCAAUCGAUGACUUAAACAACUCGUAAAAAAGUAUAGGGAGAUUAUAUGGAUAAAUGCAGAAAUUACAGGAGGUAAAGUGGAUAUUUAUAUAUACUUUAAGGGCGUUACAUGGAUAUUAAGAUUUUAUUGGUAUAAACACCAUAACUAAUUGUGCAUUCCAUCUCUUUUUUACUUUACAUACAAGAGAGUUAUGUGGCUAUUUUUAAAAACCUUAGAGAGAUCUUCUAACAUUAUGUAAAAUCACAGGAGGUUAAUAAGUAAUUUAUCCAAAAAAAAAGUAUACUUAACGAGUACUCAAGGGAUUUAUCCUGUAAUUUAGGGAUUUAAAUAGGUACAUAGCAUCCUAUAAUUUAUACAAGUAUUAAAGUAAUUUUUCUUUCUAAAGCUUUGAGAACUACAUUUUGGAUAACAAAAUAAAGAGUAACAAGUGAAAGAUUAAAAGGGCGUAUAGACAAUAAAUUAUUUUAGUAAUACAAGAAAAAUUCCAGGACAACAAUGUUAGUGAAAGUUUGGAUGAACGUCUGAUGUGGAAGGGGAGUGGUGUUAAGAAAAAAGCUGGGUCUACAGACUAAUUAGUGGAAAUAGAACUCUAGUUAUAAGUUACAAAAACACUUAUCCAUUCUCUAGUAGUAUAUUGAUAUGUUCAUAGCCAAAAUUAAGCAAUUAAGUUAAUCCGAAAAUUAAACUAAAGAAAGUUUGAUGCAGCUAUACAUACAUUGGAACUAGUAUGAAUACCCGUGCUAUGUACGGUGCUAACAUUAUUAACAAAAAUUAAAAGAGGAAGUGAAUAAAAAAAUUAAUUAAAAAUUGUACCAGUAUAAUUAAAAUGUAAGACUUGUCUAGCAAUAAUUCAAAGUAUAAUAAAAAUAUAUAUAUCAUUCAAAUACUACCUACCUCUACUUUCUUGAGAAUUAAGAGCAUGUAGAAUUCGAAAUUAGUGUAUUUUUACACAGUGUAUAAAUAGUAUUAUAAAAAUAAAUAUGUUUCCAAAAAAAUUCUACUUUCCUUUGCAAUUCUCUAAGAUAAAAAGCAUCAUAAUGAAAUACGAAUCGUGCAUGUCUGUCUUGUAAAUUAAAAUGCAAGUUAUCGCUGAAAUCUCUGAUUUGUAUAUUAACAUUGCACCUGUUUGAGAAGAAAAAGUUUUAUACAGUACAGAAAAAUAUGUUGAACUUAAAGGUACAUGAAAUUAAUUACCCAACAAUGGUGUCAAUCACAUCAUUACAAUGCAUAUACACUAUUUUUGCAAAAUGACCUUCACAUAGUUGUCCACAAUUUUUGCAUAUCUGAUAAAACAUGUUUUCUAUGUUAAUGCUUUGAAUCUAAGUAGGUAUUUGGAAAUAUUUAACCUAGUAAAAAUGAAAGAAGGUACAUGUUAUGAUUAUGAAUUGAAAAAUUUGUUCAGUAAUUAAUUAAAAUGGAGUAAUUUUACUAUAGCCAUGGUUUUGAAUUUAGGCACCAUUAAAGUGUUUUUAGGUGGAAUCCGUCCACUGUGAGAGCAUGAUAGGUAGUGUUUUUUUCUUACUGUAUUUGGUUUGUAGGUGAGAGUUCCUUAUCAAUUAGUUGUUACUAUUAGUUGUGUGAUAAAAUGUCAAACGUGAUUUAUAAUUUGCAGAUGUAAUUUGUAGGGAACAUGAUUUGUAGGGGUUGUUAUUAUCGGUUAGUUAAGUUAUAAAGAUUACUAAAUUAAAAAAAUCUAAAAUUGUAUUAAAAAUAAAAGUGUCAGACCUAGUUUGUGAUAUACAAACCUGAUUUAUAGGGGUGGUUAUUAUCCCUUAGUUAAAAGAUAAAAAUUACUCAAUUAAAAAAAUUAAAAUUAUAGUAAAAAAGGAUUUGGAUUUCUAACGCUUUUGGAAGCUCCUCAUGAAAAACGUUGCCUCUAAUAUAUAUAGUAUAGAUAGAUUGCGUAGCAGACUAUUAUUAAAACAGGUAAUAAGGGAUUUUGCUCUCUAAAGCUUUGAGAAUUUUAAUUCGGAUAAGAAAUUACAGAGCACCAAUUGAAGGAUUAAAAACAAUAUUUCAAGACUAAAUUAUCUUAUAUUAGUAAAUAAAAUAUAAGAAAUUUAUGAUAACGGUUUAGCAAUUUGUACUACUUAAUUAGUAAUUAACACUAUACUAUAUCCGUCAUUAGUGCAGAUUUAUAACAAUAAGACAAUUUUGUUUAUAACAACAAGGUUAUCUGCUAUCUUUCAAGGGAGAAACCAGAAGUUGGGAUAAAAUUAUCUCAAGGGAAAAGUAACCAAUAUCCUACUCCCACUGUGAUACGUCAUUCUUGUUGAUAUUCAUCAUAUACUUCAUUAGGACCCUCUAACAUCUAAAAACCCGUUUUCAUGAUCUUUCAAUAGCCGUACAAGGGUUUAACAACCGAUAAUAUUCUUUCAAAAGCCGUAAAAAGGUUAAACAACCCAUUAUAUUAAAUCAAAAUUCUUCCAAUAUAGCCUUAGGUUCCCUGAGAUAGCCCUUUUGGCCGGCCAUGGAAAAACAAAAGCCCAACUACGCGUGUUCUAGCAUUAUUAUAGUGGCCAUCGCUUUCUCAAUUAUUGCAACGGUAAUUUGCAUAGCAAUUAAAACCCGGAUGCCCCAUGGAUCAGCACAGACUCCAUAGCGCUCCAGAAUAUUAACAUCUCGUCCGAUCAAGUAACUGCUGAUUGGAAUUUCAACAUUUCUAUCGAAAACACUAAUAAGAUUGGCUUUUCCUAUAAGUUCAAAGCCUCCCUAUAUUAUUACUAAACUGACGGAUUCGGCGACAGAAACAGUUUACCAUGUUUCGUCGCCGAUGCCAUUAGUCCUACUCUCUCACAAGGUGGAAGAAACAAGACAACUUUUACAGCACGAUUUGAGGGUGUUUCAGUGCCCAUUGACAAGAAGUUGAAGAACGAAGGCGGAGAAAGAUCUGAACUUUUGAAUGUCUCUCUGGAGCUAAAACUGAAGGGGAUGUUGAACCUAUACCUAAAAAAUGUUUGUCGGGGAUAAUGCGUUCGGCGGCAAGUUCUCUUUCUGUCGACUGUUUAAAGUUGAAGAUAGGUAUUUCGUCAGAUUCUACUACUGGAGUUGCUACAGGGGUGUAUUAUGGCAAGGAUGGUGAUUGUAACUCUUCGUGGAAUAAUUUUUUUUCUUGGAUGAGGGACUGUUGCCCAUGGAUGAGGGAUUGUUAUUCUGAGUGGAGUACAUUCCUGUUAUAGCGUGAUUAUUAAGUUAGGAAGUAGGUUUAAAGGUAAAAUUUCUAGUGCGUUAUUUUAUGGAAAACUCAAUACUAGGUGACGGCACCUUAAUUUUAAGAAUUUCAUAUUUGUAUCUAUCGUUUUAAAAUAUUGUGAUCCCGCCUGCUUGUUUGUUUUUUAAGGAUUUCAUGUUCAUCUCCUUGAUUUUAAGGAUUUCAUGCUUGUUUUAUCGUUCAAGAGUAUCGUAAUUUGGAUUUCAUAUUUGUAUCUAUUGUGAUUUCAUGUGUUGUUUCUAACGUAUUUGGAUUUCAUGUUUGUAUCUAUUGUCAUUUUUUUACAAAAAAAAAAAUCAAAAUACAUCAUCAAAUCUGAUAAAAUUAGAAAUAUUAUAUUAUGAACUUGACCCCAACCAAUAUCUAUGCACAUGUUUAAUUGCUACUGCUUCAUGCAAUUUAUGUCGAGCCGUUGAGAUCUGACAAAUGACAAAUCUGACAAACACGCCUGAAAAACACAAAUUAAAAGAAAACUUUUUUUAGAUCAAAUGAAAACUUGUUACACACUAACGUAAAAAAGAAAAAAGAAAUCAUUGGUUAUUACCUACUAACAUAAAAAAAAAAAUCACUGGAAGGAUUGGGAGGAGGGAAGGAGAUCAAAUGGCCUCCCUCCUCUCCCAUGGAAGGUGUUGUUUUGUUUGAGAGGAGUGGAGAAAGUUAGAGAGAAGAAAGAGAAUAGCUUGGUCCAAUGUAUUGAAACCGAGCAUCAUAAAUGGACAUUUUGUUAGAUUAUAUGAAGAAUUGAGGAUAGCACAGUUACUCGGAUGCCCAUAUAAUUGGAGUGGAUCAGAAGUAUGAUCAGAUUUAUCUGCGUGAUGAUUGAACCUUGUAACUAAGAAAACAUUGGCAGAACCUCCUCUAUAUAUAUAUAUAUAUGGGACUUUCUGUCAAAGGUAUUUCUGUGGAUUUUAGAGAGACUGUGUUACCGGAUCCAUAUCCCUAUUAUCCUGAAGAAAAUGAUCCUGAUGGCUACUUUACCUGGCCUACAUUCAGUAGUGCUGAAUUCCUGAAAUAUUGACCUUUUAUCGUGUUGAUAAUCAUUUCUUAAUUACUAUAAUUGUUGAUAGGAUUGAGUUGAGUUGUGUAUUCUUACCCAAGUGAAUUCUUGAUUUUUGAACACUUUAUAUUUCAAUUUUGAACACUUUCUAUCCUCAUCUCUUAAAUCCAAUCCGCAUGCAAAUUAAUGACAAUGUAUUAAAAGGUAGUCAAAUUCUUCCUAGAAACACACAGUAAUUUCAGCUUAGACACGAUCGUACUCCAAAAAAGUUUAACAUAUCUUCCAAUCAAGUAACUGCCGAUUGGAAUUUUGGUUUUUCAAUCAAGAGCAAUAACUAGUUUGGCUUGUCCCGUCCUUUGCACUUCCUCCCUGUAUCACGAUGACAAGUUUCGCGAAGAAAACAUAGUCCAAGUUUUGUUAGAGAUGCCAAUUUUCCAAUAUUUUCACAAGGUGGAAAAAAUCAAACAACUUUUACGGUGGGAUUUGAAGGUGUUUCAUCCCACGUUGAUUGUGGAAAGAAUAGGGUGUUUGGUUAUAAGUGUGAUGAAAAAAAAGUCUCACCUUUUGAGCUAACUUUUGAAAACCCCAAGCGGGUAGUUCGCUGAUUGGCUUUCUAGAUCUUUAUUUAGAUGUCAUCGUUUAGUGUAAGUCAGAAUACCUCUGUGUUGAAAAAAAAAAAAAAAGAGCUAGCUUUUGGAGUGGAAAAGCCCAAUGGCACCCAAAAAAAAAAAAAUUCGGAGUGGUCCUUCGACUUACAAAAAAUAAAAAAUAAAAAUCAACUGUACAACUCUAGCUUCCCUUGUUUCUCCUCUUAAUAAUUAAAUCUUCUUUUUCUAUGCCUCUUUUUCUUUCACUUUUCUUCUUUAAAUUGUUAUAAGGGAAAUUUCAUAAGCCUCCACUAGAAAAAAGAAAAUUCACAUAGCACUCCUCUUGUUUUAAAUAUAUAUUUACAAUAAUCAUGUACUGGUAUUUUUUUUAUGAUGUGAUAUAUGUGAUAUUGAAUAUAACAAGGUGAUUGGGAUAUGUAUUUGCGAUAUAAACUUUUUCCUAUUGAAAUUGAUAGGGAAGUGAGUCACAUGAAAGUUUCAACUUAUUAAAUUUCUUUUACAAUUCCUUUCUUUCUAGUUUCUAAUCUACUUCCUCCAUUCUGAACUUGUACAAAAAUUAGAAUGUCUUAGAAUUUACCAUUCAAAAAACUAGCUUGUAGUUAUACAUUUUAUUCUUAUUUUAACAAUUAAUGAAUGAGCAAUUUUUUUAAUUUAUAUGACAUUAGUAUUUUGGGUUAAUUACAUUUACCUCCCUUGUGCUAUAGCCAAAAUACAAGUAGACCCCCUUAGAUUUGGAAAAUAACAGUCACCCUGCUUUGACUAAACAUAGAUCUAACAAAUGAGCCCUUCCUAUUAGUUUGUUAACGUCUGUUUGUCCCAAGCCAGCCAAAGAAUAUUCAGAAGUCCAAGAUUACCCCCCUACGUCUUCCCAAAAUAAAAGGAAAGGGCAAAAAGAAAAAACAAGAUAAAUAGAUGAAAGAAAAGGGCAACAGAGAAGAGGAAAACAAUGAAAAACCCUAAGUCGUUGGUCUGCCUCCAUCGUUUGUUAUUCCAGAAACCAUCGCUACCUUUGCAUGUGUAUUCACCUUUCCUUUUUCUUAAUAUAUCAACCCAAAGAAAAGAGCAACAACAUCUUUCAAGCCCUGAAUAUGAUGACUAGUAUUUGAAGAUAGGUAGGCAUAAAUUUGUGUUUAGCGAUUAAAGAUGAGAGAUUUGUGGUUGGUUUGAUUGGCUGUCCUGAAUUUUUUUUUUUUUUUUUUUUUUGUUGACACAAGAGUGUCCGGGUCAAUUUUUACGGGAUCCGACUAAUCCCCUGCAGCCUGGGCCCGGCGCCUCAAUUUGACCCAAGCACGAUAAGUGCGCGGAGGAAUCCAGCAAAGCAGAGACUCGAUCUUGGGAUCAAGUGGUCACCAGUGGGAGGUGCUACCGUUGGACCAUUCACGCGGGGGCGACGAUUGGCUAUCCUGAAUAUGAUGACUAGUAUUUGAUGGUUUAUAGCUUCUUCUUUUUUUUCAUCUUUCUUCUCAUUUAAGGGGUAUGUUUGUCCAUACAUGUAGAAUAUUAACGACAUUUAGCAAGUGUCACAUCAAAGGGGCUGACUGUUAUUUUUCAUACCUAGGGGGUCUAUUUGUACUUUGGCCAAAGGACAAGAGAGGUAGAUGUAAUUAACCCUAGUAUUUUUACUUUUAUAUUUAAUGCUUCAUUUUUAUGUCUAUAUAUUUAUGAAAUAACUUACACACACACAUAUAAACUUAUUGUUAAAGAAUGCGAUUAAUUUUGAGAUAAACAAUUCUUUCAAUAUGCAAAACGUUAUAUUCAUUACAUGUUUUUAUGUAUAUUGAAUACAAAAGUGAAUAAGUUCAAUAUUGAAUAUUUUCUAUUAAUGAAUAGACUAGUCAAAUUUUACCGUUACUUUCUAGCUAAACAAACAAAGAAUUCGUAUUUUCUUACAUUAGUUUCUUGUUAACCAAACAAAUGUGAAAAAAUCAGUUUUUUUUUUUACAUCACUUCACUUCACUUUUUCUACGACACACUUUCUUAAACAACUUUCCCAUCAAACAAGCAGAGCUAAUUGAAGUAUUUUGCAAGGCCCCAUCCAAUAUUGAAGUAUUUUGCAGAUCUAAUAUUUGAAAACAAUAACAAAUUCCAUUUUUAUUUUUGGGUUAUCUUUUUAGGAAAACCAUUGUAAGAAUUCCCGGGGAAAAGUAUUAGGGUAAAAAGGUUUCCUUUUCCCUUCAUUUUCCAUUUGCAUAUUCAUAUAUUUUUCUUUCUUCUUACUGAUUCGAAUGUCCUUUUCCAGUGGAAAAAAAAACUAGUGGAUAAACUUCAAAAGAAAUUAGAAAGUUAAAAGCAGAGUGGAUAAACUUGAAGGGGACAAGGCAAUAAUCUAAUCUAAUGAUCUUUUAUGAUGAAUUUGAAUUACAUUCCAUAGCUGCAAAAUAGAAUAAUCCACAGAACAUAGGCGAAUAGCCGAUACCCAAAGUUAAAAUAUCAAACCUCCGAUAUUUUCCACACUGCAAUCUGGCAUUAACGAAAAAUAUCCCUCAUAUUUUUACUUCAUUGUCUUUUAGCCCACAUAUUCGAAAUGAACCAUUUUGGCCCCAUGCUUCAGAAUCCUUGUGUCUAAAAAUUUUGUUUCAGUCUAUUUUUUUGCUUGAAGAUGUGUCAAAAAAAAAUUCAUAGGUUGAAGGAAUUUUUAUUGUAGCGGGAAAAAUUAUUCACUUGUUAUAGAAAAAAAAUACUAUGCUUUCAUUUUUGGUAUAAAGAAGGGUUUUUUUAAUAGGUACCUAUAAGACACUUGUUAACACACCUAACAUUCAUCUAAUUACCAUGUAAUAUACACAUAUUAAUAAUUAUUAUUGUCCUUUGCAUUUAUAUAUUUUAUCUAUUUAAUUUUACCCAUUCUCUCUUGUAUUUAUUUAUUUUUCCUAAUUAAUCUUACAUUUUCAAAAAUAUGAUACCUGAAAUAUAUGUUAAAGGCACCCAUUAAACAGACUCAUAAAAGAAUCAGUCACUCGAUGCAUCCUUGAUCUUUUUAGGCAAAAAAGAAACUUGAAACUUGAUCAUUAGAUAUGGUGUAGACCUAAAAAUUACUACUAAGUAAAAAUAUGUGAAUCCAUUUAUGUGAUUAUCAUUUUUCCUUAUUAAUAUACUUUCUCCAGCCUUAAAUGUCACAUUUCAAAUGUGAAGGGCCAAAACUCGCAGAGUAAAAAUAUUCAGGACUAUUUAUGUAAUUUUUCCCGUUUAAGUGUACUAUUUUAAUAAUAAAAAAAAGAAAGUAUCGAGGAUGCUUUGCUGGAUUCUUGCCGACUUUCUCACCUCCUCCCACUACUUCCACUAACUUCAUAACCACCGCCCUGCCACCCCUGCACCUCCUCAUGCUCCUCCGCUUCUUCCAUGGCUGACCCGAAUAACCGACCCGUCACCGGCUACCCAGCUCCGACCACCAAUGGUCACCCACCGCCUCCGUCCAACACCUCCUACCCCUACGCUGCACCACCACCUGCUGCUUACUACAACCAACAAUACUACACGGACCAGCUUACCACCAGCCUGAUCCCGACGCCAUCCGCCGCGCCACCUUCCUUCGCCGCCUCUUCGCUUUCAUAAUUGCCGGCGUCAUCAUCCUCGGCACCAUCCUCUUCAU